AUCAAAACUGGUAGGUCAACCUCGAAUUGUCUCUUUUCAUCUUCUUCUUAUACCCCCACCAAACACCACAAAAAGAACAGUCAUCCAAUUUUUGUAAGGCAAGAUAUAACAAUCAUACCAUGCUCUAGUACAAAAUGUUGUAAAUAUUACUGAUGUCAUUGAAUGUACCUGCAUUAAAUAUGCACAUCCAGAUCUAGUUAAAGACGACAAUGCUUCUUUCCUAGAAAAUUCAGAGAUCCGCUGUUGCACUAUACCUCUUAUCUGAAUUAAAUGAAACAGAACGAGUAUUGAUUAACGAUGAAAGAAGGAGAAGAAAAAAACCAUAUAUUUAAUUAUAUAUAUAGAACUGAAAGGAGCAGCUUACUACUUACCAAGGAAAGGCGCUGUUCGCAAUAGAGUUUGUGGCAUUCUUCAAGAAGUUGAAUAUACUCUUUUCUAGGUGUUCUGCUUUCAAUUUCCUCCAGGAUAGGCUUAAGCUGCAGGUAACUAGGUUCAUUUGGUUCAUGGAUUACACGUAAAAGCUAGUCCUAGUUUCUUUCUCUUUUUUUUUUUUUUUUUGAGAUUAGAAAUACUCACUGCCAUACAACGAAUUAAUAGAGUUUCUAUUCUACUAACUAAAAGGCAAGGAGAUGUUCCAAUAUUACCUCAUUUGCUGCAGCCUUGAAUCGUACAUAUAUUAUAGAUGGCUCUAUACCCUCGGCAAAAGAUGUCUUGUUACCACCGCUGCUUCUUAUUGCAGCCUGAACCUGAUAAAAUGGGUGUAUUUAUCUCAGAAUAUGCAACCAUUCAUCUGCAAGAAAAGAUUGUAGUGCAUAAGACAGAUUUACCUGAGAAGAAGUGCUUCUAAGAACGGAAAGAACGUGAGUGCGAAUCAUUCCCAGAGCUCGAGACUGUUACAAGGGGGCCAAGGUAACACAGACAGAGAGAAGGAGAAUGGGCAAUGGGAUUAGAAUUCAUAUGUCCAAGAAUGCCAUAAAAUCAUGCCUUGUAUAAAGAAAUGCAAUUUUAUAUAUGAUAGUAAAUUACAUAAUGUUGAUGUCAAUUCUUUUAAGUACCUGAAGUUGUCGAAACUUGACCAAAUAAAUGCUGCACUCUGCAUAUUGUGGGUUACUACUCUCUACAUAUCUUCAGUGAUGCAGAGGAGAAACACAAAGGUUAUUUGUGCUCUUAUGCAUAGAUUUACAAGCUUAACUCAAUAGAACUUAAUCUUGAUAAAAGAAGUCAUAUCCCUAGAAGAAACCUGUGACUCUAGACAUGUCCACAUAGUAAACUUCACAAAUAACCAAAGAAAAGCAUGGAUGGUACAACAUUGCAGUGGUUCUAAUAUUCAUAGAUUUCAAUGCAGUAAUAUGAAAUGUAAUGUCACUUAGGAUAUGCACUCAUCAAGUCUCUUUAGCAAUGGAAGAAAAUUUGUACUACCAACGCUCAUGCUAGGAGAAUAAAAAGUGGUAGCAACCUGCAAACAAGAGUGCAAGACAAGCAUGAGGAAUCAAAUCAAAAAAAAAAAAACAUAAAACUGGGUACUUUGACAUUUGGAGAAGUUCAAGUAGGAGAAGAGCAGGACUUGAAGAGAAAAUUUAGCACAAGACAAAUCAAGUUGAUACACCAAUUAGAUGUAAUUAAACAAAAAGGAAUUAGAAAAUUUUAGUCUAAUGGUCAUGAUUAAAUCAAGAAUAUGUACAGUAGAGAGUGAAAAGCUAUUCCUCUUUAAGGAAUUUAAAAAAAGGAACUCUCAGUUCCAAAAAAAAAAAAUUAAAACAGGAACUCUCAUUCUCAAUCUCACAAGUGAAAAAGUUUUCCUUUAGAAACCACCAAGCACAUAAAUAGGAGAAAGAAGAGUUGACCAAAAGACGAGAUUAAAAAAAUCAUCUUAAAUAAAUAACUCGCUAAGCAAGAACAUCAAAAUAAUCCAAAAGAACUAGAUUGGAAAAGCCAAGACAGAAUAGCUUUGGGUGACUCAUUUGUAACAUGAGGAAGAAAACAAUCUAGAACCAAAGCUUUAUUUACAAAGGAUAAAGCUCUGCCCUCCGAUGUAUGGGUGUGGAAAAAAUUUAAUUAAAAAACAUGAAAUCUCUUGAGGCAGAAAGCUCUAAUCUCUUAAAGCUGUUUUCCAUAGUUCAAACUCUCAGUUAGGUAUAUUUCCUCACCGAGUAUCAAAGCAUAAAAAAUACAGAUAGCAUCAAUUCUCUUCACUCAAAAUAAAGUUGAUGCAGAACCAUACCUAAUUCAGAUAGGCAUAGAUAGACUACUGUGGAAAUAGUGCAAAAGGCAUUGAAUAACAAUGGAAUAUUAUCAACAGAAAUGGCAGCCGGACCUUACAUUCUCCAAUUCAUCAAAGUAAUUGAGCUUAUUGUGAAGUGAUUCUGCAAACUCAAUUAUUUUCUGCUUCUCCAAAAGCUUCAAACAAAAAAGAAGUUACACAAGAAUAUUAUUCAAUGCUGCUUCUUGUAGUUAAUUAUUGCCUCUUUACCUGUACAUCACAUGUCCAUUAAUAUUAGACACUGAUAGGGAACUCCGAAUUUCAAAUGCCACUCACUGGACAUUAGAAUACACAACAUUGACAUGAAUGGUAACUAGAUAAUGCUUUAAGACAAACAGCAACUUCAGAUAAAAGAAAAAACUAGAAAUGCAAAAUGAAGAAAUGCAUUUACAAGGUACUAGGUGGCAAUUGAAGAUGUUUGGCAACUAUAAAAGAUAUCAUAGAUUUUAAUCCAUCAAUAUAGUAGAUUGCCAAUGAAGACUUUCAACAUCAUAGAGUAAGCAAAACAAUGUUGAUUAAGAAAUUGAACUACAUAGUUACAAGCCUAUCUUCUUAUCAUACAAUUAAUUGCUCCUCUGCUCCUCAGAAUUUUGAACAGAAUGAAAGAGAAAAGUACAAUCUACAGCUAAGUAACCACAGAUGCUAAGAGAAAUGGGUUGACACACCAGUCUAUCGCACGCAUCAUGAAGAGUUCUUGUCUUUGUUGCCACUGCUUGAUGCUGCAAUUGCAACUCAUUGAACAAGUCAAGUGUUUCAUCCACCUGCAAGAGAGCCAAUUUUAAGGGCAAGGGCAUGUCGACUCGAGCAUAGUUAGAUGAACAGCAACAACAAAAGGCUUAAGAGAAGAGUAUAAGAGCAUUAUUUUUCUUCUCAGAAUACCUGGUGAAGUAUACUAUCGCAGGUCUGAAUCUGCUCUGUUAAGGUGCUGGCAUAAUGCUGAUAUUUUUCUUCAGACUAUAUAUAGAAAGAAAGCAUAUGUAAUAUCUUUUAGUCCGCAAGUGAAAAAGAUGAAACGUAUGACUCACAACUUUUGGAAGAAACGGAAGACAUAUAAACAAGCUAAAGACCAACCUCUAAUUUCAUGGCUGCUUCAAGAUCCGCGAACCACUUAUAAAACUGUAUCAACAAAAUAAACAAAGGGGAAGAGGAAACUCAUAUCAAGUUCAAGCAGCAUAAGGGGAAAGGUCAAUUAAGAUGCCAUUAAUAUCAUCAUUUACAUAGACAAUUAAGCAUAUGCAGUAUUCAAGCAUAUACAAGGCGGCAACACAAAGAUUGACAUGGAAACAAAUUUGGAAAACUGAAGCUCCUUAUUAAGUGGCUUGCUUUUGCUGGACAGCAACAUAUGAAGCAGUACUUAUAGAGCAAUUCCUUCAAGAAAGCUGCCUGAUAUAUGCAAAAAGUGUUACAUGUGUGAAAUGAGGGUUGAGGAUGUUAAUUAACUCCAACUACACUGCCUAAUAGCCUGGCAGUUGUGACCACUUACUUUUAACAUUUUUGAAAUUUAAGAAUCAUGCAAAUGCUGGGGGAGUGGGGGGCUUUACAAUAAAGAGGAGAAGAAGUGAAAUGGGAUGUAGCUCCGUUAGCUCCAGUGGUUCUUUAGAAGGAGAGAAGUAGGAGGUCUUUUGAAAGGGGUGGAUUAUGAUUUCGUACAGUUGAGAAAUAACCUCCUAUUGUUAAUUUUUUGUGCACUUACAAGUUUAUUGUGUGUAUAAAUUGUUGGUUGUCUUUCACAGAGAACUCUUUUUUAGUGAUGAGGUAUAUAAUAACAUAAUGAUCCGAAAAUCUCCUUAUCAAAAGACAUUAGGAUAAAACAAAAGGAGAAAAAGAAAAUAACUUCUAGGGCUACCAAAGUUCAAAUAUGGAGGAGAGUUCUAGAAGAAAUUUCUUUUGCAUGUCUUUCUGAUAUAUAGACACAAAACCUGCUCCACUAAAAUAGGCAGGAUCAAGGCCAUAAACAGCCACUAUGGUCAUCAUCCCUUGACCCAUCACAUGCAAUUUAGGUAUUUCUACCCCAGAAGACAUUGAGUAUCAGGGUCAUUUCUCACUAAAUGUAAGUUCUAGUCAUCCUUUGCCCGGCAUAAGGUUUACCCUCUCUAGUUAAUGACAAUCAUCCGGAACAAAUGAGACGCAUAUUAUCUAGUAAGCCAAAACAAUGGAUGGGGCUUUGUAACAAGCAAUUAUCAGGCCUUCUGCUCAACUCAUCGAUUUUAGCAGUUAUCUUAUCAAAAAGAAGAUUUCACUGGUUUAGCAGUUAUGUGUGGCAGAUGAGCCUUUGAGUAUAACACACUACAACUUCUAGUCUUGUAGAAAUAUAAGUCUAUCAUUUAGCAUUGGUUGCAAGAUUUUAUUUGUUUUGAUUCCUUGCCCAAAAUUUAGUUGAUCAUGCAACCUUUUUUAUAAGGGAAUAUCAUUCACGAUCCCUUAUUUGAAAUAUGGAAUACUAAGAUCUGCAACCGGGAAAUGUAAAAGAUAAAGGACAUGCCAACUAAAAAUUGGGUUUUUUUUAAUCAGGUAAAUAUUUUUUCAUUCAUAUUCGCAAACUGGCCAUAUACAAGGCGUAUACCAAAAGGCAAAGCAUCUACAACAAGAUAUGAUUGUCUACGAACUCCAACUAAUUAUCUAUACACCAGGUACCCCCUGUGUGCACCAAAGAAAAUAAGAGAAUGGAGACUACUCCUCAACUGGAAGGAAACUCCACUCCAGUCUUUCAAAAGUAACUCACCUGAUUUGUAUUCACUAGGACUGCUUCAAUGGCCCCUGAAUCCUCUAGAGAACUAAGCUUUGUUGAAACAGAGAGGCUGUUAUCAUGUCCAGAAACUUGGUCCUGGAAAUUGAAAUAAAAACAUAUUUCAGGUAAUUGAGUUAGAGAUAGAUAUAUUCUGAAACCAACCAAGAAGGAAAAACUCACCAAAUUGGACGGGAAAGGUCUCUCGGCAACUGCAUGGGAAAGUGCUUGUAUGGCUGCUGAUUGUUGCUCUGUUAACAGAGCAUUCUGUAAGAAAAAUACUAGCUCAAGUCGUUGUAGAAUAUAAACAUUAAGAUAGCCACUAAUGUUGAUUUAAUUAAUCAAAAGGAAUAACUUUCAAUAGACAUGAAAUAGACACAUGUAGUACGUACAAACAAUUCUUCUCUUUUACUACAAACAAUAUAAUUUGACAUGAUGAGGGCCACAAACACAAAAUAGAAGAUCAAAUCCAGGAUAGAGGUUGUUAGAAUAGGAAUAAAUAUUUCUUACUUAGAAUAGGAAUUACAAUAGGAAUUCUAGUUGGAAAAGGUUUUCAAUGUAGUGUCUAUAAAUAGGGUCUUCAUGUAACAAUUUAGAUGCGCAAUUCAAUAAUAUUUUCUCCAUUAUUUCUCUCAUGGUAUCAGGGCAUUGGUGAGAAACAAACAAUUCAAUUUCCGGUGACGUUUGGGACUGAUUUUAUCAUUUUUUAUUUAGUGGGUGUUGUGCGAAAACCAACACCAACACGAGGCUAGGAAACCUCCCGCGACCAAACCCCAGCAAGAACCACCAGAAAACAGCACCGCACGCGCCCUCACGCGCCGAUCGAAGGUGGCAGAUUCCGGCGAGAUCUGGCUCACUCGCCGGCGCGUGAGGACUUUUCCGUCCAUAGUCUUUGAGAUUUUUUUCGACAGGUGGGGUCGUCCAGCCAUUCCGACCCAGACUAUACUGUUUUUGACCAUUUUUAUUUAGAUUCGAUCACCGAAAUUAGGGUUGCGGUGAUUUUUGGGCAGCUUCCGGCGCGUGAGUGCUGCUCGGGUCUCUCUUCUUUUUUUCGAGUUUCUCUCUUCUGUUAGGGUCGUCCAGUGUUUUCGGUAAGAACCAUACAGUUAUCUCUAGAUCCGAUCACCGAAAUUAGGGUUCCGGUGAUUUUUUUUGGGCAGUUCCCAGCAAAAUUCCGGCAAUAUCAGAAUUUUUCAGGCCACUGCGGGCAGAUUUCGGCAGCUUCCAAUAUUUUCAGACUUGUGUAGCAGCUUCUGGCAGUUCCAAGCGUACAUACAAAUCCAUGGAGAAUAGACGGGGGAGAGAAUUUUUUGAAAAAUCUCGAUCUAAGUGUAGUCAUGUCAUAAACCUGGACACACUCGUGACAUAUGUUUUAUUUUGCAUGGUGGAUCACCCAGUUAUGAUCCUGUUGUUCUAAAGGAAUAUAUAGAGUUUUUUCCGUAUUGUGCAAAUAAACAAACGUCUCUACAAGUAGUUUCGAUUGCAAAACCUAAUGUUUCUGUUGCGGGUAAUAUUUUGUACUAGUAUAUCACAGUCUAACACUAUUGGAUCAUGGGUCAUAGAAUCGGGGGCUUCUGAUCAUAUCACUGGUAAUAAAUCACUUUUAUCUGAUAUAAUCUAUUCAUAAUCUCUUUCAUCUAUUACAUUAGCCAAUGGGAUACAAACAAAACCAAAAGGGGUUGGAAAAGCCAAACCCAUAUCUUCUGUCACUCUUGACUCUGUUCUUUAUGUCCCUGGUUCUCCUUUUAAUCUAGCAUCGGUUAGUCGUUUGACGAAAGCCCUACAUUGUAGCAUAAUUUUUUUGAUCAUUUCUUUCUCAUGCAGGACCGCAGUACAGGACAGACUAUUGGAACAAGAUAUGAAUCACAAGGCCUUUACUAUCUUACCUCUUCUAAUUCUUUAAUAGCAUGCUCCGUUACAGAUUCCUCAGAUCUAAUUCACAAACGUUUGGGACACUCAAGUCUAUCCAAAUUGAAAAAGAUGGUACCUAGUUUGUCUGGUUUAUCCACAUUAGAUUGUGAGUCGUGUCAAUUUGGGAAACACACUCGUGCUACAUUUUCUCGUAGUACUGAGGGUCGUUCAGAGUCUAUUUUUUCAUUAGUUCAUUCUAAUAUUUGGGGUACUAGUAGAGUCAGUUCCCCCUUAGGAUUUCGUUAUUUUGUUAGUUUCAUUGAUGAUUAUUCGAGAUGCACUUGGGUUUUCUUAAUGAAAGAUCGUUCUGAGUUAUUUUCUAUUUUCAAAGUUUUCUUUGCUGAAAUACAAAAUCAGUUUGGUGUUUCUAUUCGUACAUUCCGUAGUGAUAAUGCCUUAGUAUACUUAUCACCCCAAUUUCAGGAAUUUAUGUCUCACCACGGAAUCAUUCACCAAACAUCUUGUCCAUACACUCCUCAACAAAAUGGUGUCGCAGAAAGAAAGAAUAGGCAUAUCUCAUAGAGACUGCUCGCACUCUCCUCAUAGAAUUGCCAUGUUUCGAUGCAUUUUUGGGGCGAUGCAGUCCUUUCUGCUUAUUAUUAAAUUAACAGAAUGCCCUCUUCUUAUAUUCAAAAUCAUGUUCCAUAUUCCAUAUUGUUUCCUCAGUCACAUCUUUAUCCUAUCCCCUCUCGUGUCGUUUGGAGUACAUGCUUUCUUCAUAAUUUAGCCCCAGGAAAAGAUAAAUUAGCUCCUCGUGCCUCAAAUGUGUCUUUCUUGGUUACUCUAGAGUUCAAAAAGGAUAUCGUUGUUAUUCACAUGUUCUUCACCGAUACCUUAUGUCUGUUGAUGUUACAUUUUUUGAGUCUCAGCCUUAUUAUACAUCUUCUGAUCGUAGUGAUGUCUCUAUGGUCUUACCCAUACCUCAAAUUUUACCUGUGCCAACCUUUGAGGGAUCUACAGUUACGUCUACAUCUCCAGUUGCAGUGCCACCACUACUAACUUAUCAUCGUCGUCCACAUCCAACCCUAGUCCCAGAUGAUUCAUGUCAUGCGCCAGACCCUGCUCCUACUGCGGACUUGCCUCUACCUAGCCCACCGCUUGCACUUCAAAAAGGUAUACAAUCUACUCGAAAUACUAACCCGCAUUUACCUUCUUAAGUUAUCAUCAUAUAUCAUCACCCAUUAUGCCUUUGUGUCGUCAUUGUCCUCUAUUUCCAUUCCUAAGACUAUAGGUGAAGCACUUUCUCAUUCUAGAUGGAGGCAGGCUAUGGUUGAUGAGAUGUCUGCUUUACAUAAGAGUGAUACUUGGGAGCUUGUCUCCCUUCCUGCAUGUAAAUCUACUGUUGGUUGUCAUUGGGUUUAUGCAGUCAAAAUUGGUCUAGAUGGUUAGGUUGAUCGACUUAAGGUUCUCCUUGUCGCCAAAGGGUAUACUCAGAUAUUUGGGCUAGAUUAUAGUGACACUUUUGCUCCUGUGGCUAAAAUAGCAUAUGUUCGUCUUUUUCUAAUCUAUGGUUGUUGUUCGUCAUUGUCCUCUUUAUCAGUUGGACAUAAAGAAUGCUUUUCUGCUAGUGAUCUUGAGGAAGAAGUCUAUAUGGAGCAACCACCUAGUUUUGUUGCUCAGGGGGAGUCUAGUAGCCUUGUAUGUCGAUUGCGUAGGUCACUCUAUGGUCUGAAACAGUCUCCUCGAGCUUGGUUUGGGAAGUUUAGCACAGUAAUUCAGAAGUUUGGCAUGACUCGUAAUGGAUCAAAUCACUUUGUGUUUUAUCGACAUUCUGCACCAGGUCGAUGUAUCUAUUUGGUUGUUUAUGUUGAUGAUAUUGUUACCACUGAUAAUGAUCAAGACUAUAUCACCGAUAUAAAGCAACAUCUUUUUAAGCACUUUCAGACAAAAGACCUUGGUAGAUUGAAGUAUUUUCUAGGUAUUGAGGUUGCUCAAUCUAGAUCAGGCAUUGUUAUCUCUAAACACAAGUAUGCCUUAGACAUUCUUGAGGAGACAGGAAUGAUGGGAUGUACACCUAUUGACACUCCGAUGGAUCCGAAUGUUAAACUUCUUCCGAGACAGGUGGAGCCACUUAGUAAUCCUUAAAGGUAUAGACGACUUGUUGGAAAGUUGAAUUAUCUCAUAGUGACUAGACCAGGCAUCUCUUUUCCCGUGAGUGUUGUAAGUCAGUUUAUGACUUCCCCUUGUGAUAGUCAUUGGGAAGCAGUUGUUCAUAUUCUUCGAUAUAUAAAGUCAGCCCCCGGCAAAGGACUACUCUUUGAGGAUCAAGGUCAUGAGCAUAUUAUUGGAUAUACAGACACUGAUUGGGCAGGAUUACCCUCUAACAGACGUUUGACAUCCGGAUAUUGUGUUUUAGUUGGAGGUAAUUUGGUGUCGUGGAAGAGUAAGAAACAAAAUGUGGCUUCUCAAUCUAGUGCAGAAUCAGAAUAUCGAGCAAUAGCGACAGCAACUUGUGAGUUAGUUUGGCACAAAUAAUUACUGGGAGAACUAAAAUUCGGCAAAAUUGAUCAGAUGGAACUUUUGUGUGAUAAUCAAGCGGCUCUUCAUAUCGCAUCAAAUCCAGUGUUUCAUGAAAGGACUAAGCACAUUGAGAUUGACUGUCACUUUCUCAGAGAAAAGAUACUCUCAGGAGAUAUUGUUACAAAAUUUGUGAAGUCAAAUGAUCAGCUUGCGGAUAUGUUCACUAAGUCUCUCACAUGUCCUCGUAUUAAUUACAUCUGUAACAAGCUAGGUGCAUAUAAUUUGUAUGCACCAGCUUGAGGGGGAGUGUUAGAAUAGAAAUAAGUAUUUCUUACUUAGAAUAGGAAUUCUAGUUAGAAAAGAUUUCCAAUGUAGUGUCUAUAAAUAGGGUCUUCAUGUAACAAUUUAGAUGAGCAAUUCAAUAAUAUUUUCUCCAUUAUUUCUCUCAAAGGUGAUUUUCCAAUAGCUAUUGCAAGAAUAAGCUAAAAGUAAAAGUUUCAGCAGCUAGUUAGCCGGUGGUUAUACGAGGAAAAAGAGAAGCAGUGUCACAUUACAAUGAAAAUAAAACUUCAAAAGAUAGUUCAACGGAGAAUAUGCGACACAAUCACCAGCAGCUAAACCUUGCCGUUGAAAUGAGACGACAAACACAUGUUAAAAUCAACUGAGAACUUUAUCGCACAAAGAAACAAUUCUGAUCCUCCUUUUUUUCACCUUUUUUGGGUAAGUGAUAAAAUUUAUUAGAGAAACUUAGUACCAAGAUAUUACUAAGAUAUAGUUAAAAGAUUUGCUGGAUUUUCUUAAGCUGUAAGGAAUCCAAGAAAUCAAGCAAUAAUCCAAUGUAAUUUGAUCCCCUUUUCCAAUCACCGCUUUACUAUUCAUUAUUUCAACAGGAUCAGUGCAUAUGAUAAAAAUCCGGUCAUCAAAAUUUGUCAUAGAAUCAGAUAUCUACAUAAUUUUGGUUAUGCGUUCAAACAAAUCUAGUAAAUCUGGAGAAAAUCUGAACAAUGUAGAAAAUAGAGAGUGAACCUGUUCCCAAGUAGAAGCGAAAUUAUAGCCUUUGGAAACAGCUUCGGACUUGAGAACCCCCGGCCUUGUCGUUGCCGCCAUAGUAUUAUCAUCACUCUCUUCUUCCACUACUUUGCAACUGUUUCUGUUCGUGUAAAAAGUAAAACGAAACAGAAUUGAUGAAAAAUGAGGGGGAAACGGACUGUGUAGUAACUAGUCAAUUACUGAUACCAAAACAAUCAAUACUACAGAUGAUUGUAGCCAUCACCAUAUGGAUUUUGGAGCUUCAAUGGAAGCAAUUUCGACUUCGAAGUUGAAAAAAAGGGUGAUUUGAACGAUGAAGUUGGAGAUCUGGGAUGAUCCUCUGGCUUAGCUUUGGGUUUUCCGCUCAUAUGAAAAUUACAGUAACGACGUUCCUUUUCUUCAAAAUUCAACAUAGACCAAAACUGGAGAAAAUUAAAUGAAUGGCGUCAAACAACUCUUUGGUUUUUGGUGACAGAUUGUCCAAAGAGUUUGGUCAAAUUUAUUUUAAAAUGUAAUUAAGUAAAUUUGAGAUUAAAUUAAUAUUUUUAAGAUUUUUUAGUCUUUUAUAAAAUAUAAAAUAGCACUUCAUUUUUUCAACUUUUAUAAUUCUAUUCAAAUCAAUUUAUUUAAAAAAUAAAUGAAAAUAAAAUUUUCUCUUCUUCUUCUCUCAAUGUUCUCUCUUCUCUUCUUCCUCCUCUUGAGAAAAUUUGAAAAUUCGACUAUUAAAAUAAAUAUUUUAUCCCAUUAUCUUAUCUUCCUUCUCAUCUCCGGUUGUGACUCUCUUCUCUUUUUGAGCUGAAGAUUGUGUUCGAAUUAAAAUGAGUAAGUCAUAUUUUUUGAGAGAUUUUACAAUUUUGGAACAAUACUAAGCGUUUUUUGUUAAUAAAGAAUAAAUCGUUCUAUAGAUGUGAAAAAUGAAUAAUAGUGUAAUAGUACCUAUUAUUUAUUAAUAGUACCUAUUACUUAUUGUUUUAGAAAGAAAAUUAACAAACACAAAAAGUCAUAAUUUUGAGAAAAUAUAUAUGUAAUGUUAAUAUUCAGGGAAAAUUCAUUUUUUGUUGUUUUUGUUGUUCUGUUAUGACCAUUUUGUUCAUAUGAUUUAAGAAAUAUAGUUUUGUUCAGUUGUCCAACAAAUAUUUGAAGUGUAGAUCGAAAAAAAUUAUUUCUCUAUCACUAUUUAUAAUUGGUGAAAGAAAAAAAACAAUGACUACUGUUCUGUAUCACGCUCAAACCCGAAAGGCAAGGAGAACAAGGAGGAGAAGGAGAAGGACCUAGAGAUGGAGAAUGAGAGAUUGAAAAAGAAAGCGAAAGAGAAAGAGAAAAAAGUCGAAGUCGUCAAUUGUGAUGUGAAACAACAAUAUCCACCGUUAAUUAGAUUGAUGGUUAUGUAUAUCAUUGUGAAUUAUCUUUUUUGUUGAUAAGUUGUAUAAAACAAUUGGUGAAGUGUAUUUUUGCUGAUAAUAUGAAUGAUUUUUUUGUUGAAACAAAUGUCAAUUAUGAUGAAAAAGAAGAAAUGUGGUGUAUAUGGCAAAAUAUAUAACCUAUGUUGUAAAAAACACCACAGAAUUAUCUAGAUGUGCCCUAACAGAAAGGACAUAUGUGGCAACAUAUAUAACCUAUGUUGUAAAAAAUGCCUCAAAAUUAUCUAAAUGUGCCCCAACAGAAAGGAUAUAUGUGGCAACAUAUUUCACAGAAAGAAGAUAUGUGGCAACAUAUGUCACAUAAAAAAGAUAUGUGGAAAAUAUGCCACAGAAAAGAGAUAUGUGGUAACAUAUGUCACAGAAAGGAGAUAUGUGGCAACAUUUCACUGUUAUCAAUGUUAUAUGUGGCAACAUUUCACUGUUAUCAAUGUUGUCUGUGGCAACAUAUAUAACCUUUGUUGUAAAAAAAUUUAUAAAAUUAUCUGUAUGUACCCCAACAGAAAGGAUAUAUGUGGCAAUAGAUAUCACACUAUAAAUUGUCAAAAAAAAAUUAAAAAGUAAAAUAAAGAUGUAUAAAACAAUCGUCCCUUCAUUUUCUCUCUCUCCUCUCCUCUAUAAAAGGUCGUUUUGUUUCUUAUUUCAAAUUUCAUUUAUUUUUACUAAUUUUUGUUUUCUUUUCUCUCGUUCCAUUAUUUCUUUAAGUUCAAAUUGUUGCUAUGUUUUCUACAACAUCAGUGAUAACAUGUUGCGAUUUUCUUCUACAACAAAGCAUCGUUGCCCUCAUCAUUUCUAGUUUAUCAUUGAUAUCUCCUAAGAUAAAAUUUAAUAGUUAUUGCUAUUAAAUCAGAAUUUUUUUAGUGGUUUUUAUCACUUAUUUGUUUGUAGGAUGGUUGUGUUGUUAUUCUUUUUGGAAUAUUAUCUGAUUAAAAAAUGCAUUUUAGGAUGUAUAUUGCCACAUGUGACAUGUCUGUUGCAAUUUUCCCAACAGAAUGUGCAUAUAUUGUCAUAUAUGUCACUUCAAGGUUGACUUCAUCGAUAAAUUGAGCGAUUUAGGAAUGAAAAAAUGUCAAAUUGGAUCAAAUUUUAGUACUUCAGACCAUAAUUAAACAAUAAAAUAUGUUAUAAACACUUGGAACAACAAUUUACAUGGGUUUUAUAUAACCAUCAUAUCAAAUUAUUUGGUAAUUGUAUGAUGAACUAGUGAUAUGAUAGUCUUUGUAAAAAUAAAUGAUAAAAUUAAUGAAAGUUGUUGUAUUAGAUCAUAUUUUUAUGCUUAGACAUGUUGUAUGACUAUAUAUUAGUGAAUUAGGUGACAAUAUAAUUGAAUUAACCACAAAAAGACCAUUUUAUGAUAUACAUAUGCUGUCACAUAUGACAUGUCUGUUGCAAUUUUUCCAACAGGAUGUUCAUAUGUUGCCACAUAUGUCACUUCAAUAAUGUGUUAAUCGAUAAAUUGAACGAUUUAGAAAUGAAAAAAUGUCAAAUUGGAUCAAAUUUUAGUACUUUGGACUAUAAUUAAACAAUAAAAAUAUGCUAUAACACUUGAAACAACGAUUUACAAGGGUGUUAUAUGACUAUCAUAUGAAGUUACUUGCUCAUUGUAUGAUGAACUAGUGAUAUGAUAAUCUUUGUAAAAAUAAUUGAUAGAAUUGAGGAAGGUUGUUAUAUUAGACUAUAAUUUUGUACUUAGACAUGUUUUAGGACUAUAUAUUAGUGUUACAUAUUGAAUUAGGUGACAAUUUAAUUAAAUUAACCCUUCAAAAACGAUUUUAUGAUGUACAUAUAUUGCCAUAUAUGACAUUUCUGUUGCAAUUUUUCCAACAGAACGUGCAUAUGUAGUUUCAAUGAUGGUUUAAUCAAUAAAUUGAGCAAUUUAGAAUGGAAAAAUGUCAAAUUGGACCAAAUAUUAGUACUUUGAACAUAAUUAUACAAUAAAAAUAUGGUAUAACACUUGAAACAACGAUUUGUAAGGGUGUUAUAUGACUAUCAUAUGCAUGAUGAACUAGUGGUAUGAAGGUUGUUGUAUUAGACCAUAAUUUUGCAACAUAUUGUAGGACUAUAUAUUAGUGAUACGUGUUGAAUUAGGUGACAAAUUAAUUGAAUUAACCCUUCAAAGACCAUUUUAUGAUAUACAUAGUGAUACGUGUUGAAUUAGGUGAACAAAUUAAUUGAAUUAACCCUUCAAAGACCAUUUUAUGAUAUACAUAUGUUGCCACAUAUGACAUUUCUGUUGCAAUUUUUCCAACAGAAUGUGCACAUGUUGCCACAUAUGUCACUUCAAGAAUGACUUAAUCGAUAAAUUGAGCAAUUUAGGAAUGAAAAAAUGUCAAAUUAGACAAAAUUUUAGUACUUUGAACCAUAAUUAAACAAUAAAAAUAUGAUACAACGCUUGAAACAAUGAUCUACUAGGGUAUUAUAUAACUAUCAUGUCAGUUGCGACCUGUAAGUCAUAUGUUGCUACCUGUCUAGCUUAUAUGUUGCAGCUUGCGUAAGUUAUAUGUUUCACAUAUGUCUAUUCAGUUGCUAUUGAAAUAACUUUUUAGUUGCUACAUAUGGCUAUAAUUUAUUCCAAUAGUCAAUUGUUGUAAUAUAUAGCAAUCUGUUGAAAACGUGAAUGCAAAUUAUUAAAAAAUUGCAGGUACCCAGAUGAUGAUGAAUGAUUUCAAAGAAAUAUUAAUUUUACAUAUCAAAACAACUCAAUUGAUAGCAAACGAAAUCUGGUCCUGUGAUUAAAUUAGGUAAAUCUGAUUCAAGAAGAAGAAAAGAACAAAGCUCAAGGAUUAGCAGCCAAGACCAAUAAUAUAUGAAAAAAAGAAGAAAAAUAUAAAGAGAACAGGAAGAAAGACAAGCAAGCAAGCAAGAACGAAGAAGAAGAAGAAGAAAAUGAAGAAGAAGAGGAAGAGGAAUACGACGAGAGGUGGGGCAAAAGUAUUUUAUUUCCCCUUUUGGUACAGCUUGCUGGUGGCUUCCCCCAAUUUUAAUUCCAACCAAAAUUGGUUAAAUUAGAUUUUAGUCAAUUUACCCUUUUACUCUAAUUCAAUGGACCAAACAUCAACUUAUAAACUUGAGGUCAAAUCCAUAAUCCUUAAUCAUUAAGCACAUAAUUGUCACCUACACCCAAUACUUAAGAUUUAUGUCUCUGCCCAUUUAUUUUGAAACCUUGUGGUCACUUUUUUUUAAAAGUCCCCCAAGACUGUUUAACUCAAUCCGUCUUACUUCAUCAUUUUGUUUUUAUUUUUCUACUUUAUAUUUAAAAAUCAUAAAUAAUAAUAAUAAUUUAUUAAAUUUGCCCUCUUAAAAAAAUGAGAAUUUUAUUAACAACAGAGAAGGCCCAAAACUUUCUUUAAACUAUCCGAAGUAGAUUAAAUAUACUUUUAAACUAUAUUUCAGCUCGAAAAAUACUAUUUUCAUCAAAUUAUUAGGCCACACACACAAACUAGUCGAUCCAAGCCGUUAUAGCAUCAUUCGGGGUUCAAUUGGAUAGCUAUAGCGGAGUAAGUUGUUGUAAAUAUAAGGAAACCCCUCAAAAUCGCUCAUAAUCACCCCAAGAAUAUAAGUGUGGCCCUUGAGUAUGGCUUGAAUUCAUUAUAAGGUAAGGAAAAUUUAGUUUUAUAAGGAUUUUAGGGUGUAAGACUUUGGGCUAAUCUUAAAAAUGGUUGUUAUCGAUUUAUUUACCGCAAUUCACUAAUGUAACCAUGAAACAGGUAGUUUUAGGUAAUUAAAGGUGGAAACAUUCUAGUUUUGGUGGAAAAUUCAUGAGGACGGAUUAGGGUUUGAAAUUUAGAGAUGAUCUAUAAAUAUUUAGGUCAUUUGUCAUUGAUUUUGUAUUAUUCUAUUAUUUUUGACCAAAAGCAAGUUAAAGUUUCACAAAAAGGAGUCAAUGUUUGCAAUCGAACUUCUAGAGAAGUUGUUUGACGCCCAGAUAGGCUAGGUUAUCUUUACUAAGUAGUCAGACAUGUUUUAUAUUGCAUGGUAUUUUGUAAAUUCACGGUAAGUUUCAUGCGUAGGCCUUCAAACUUAGGGCCGGGAUGAUUAAGAUUGUUAUUUAUUGUUGUCAGGCGGAAAAAGUUAAUGACUAAGGUGUGUUAUGUAGUUUUGAUUUUUAACCUUAGGCUUACUUGUCAAGGUAGUUUUGUGGUAAUGUAAGGUCAAGUGUUCUGAAAAUUUUGGAUUAUAGACAUUUCUAGAACUUGUGGUAAUCAAGAAUGGGCUUAUGUGUACUCAUAAUGAGACAUAGUACUAGGUCAUUGUUAUAUAUGUGAUGGUUUGUGUUGUCCAAUAUAUGUGUAUAGACAAUUUACUGCCUAUUAGUAUCACUUGUGUUGGAAAUCAUAGGGAAGGAUAAUAAACCUAUUUAUGUGACUUGUGGUUUCAACCGUUAUUGUUCAAUGUAUUUGAGAUUGUGCAUGAUUUUUUGUGUUUGUUGAUUGGUCCAGGAACACACUGAUACAUGAAUAUUAACGGUUGACCCAGAUACCAUGCCUGAAUGAUUACAAACUCUAGUUGGCUUCAGUACCACGCUAAUACAAAAAUACUAAUAAUUGGAUCGGAUACUUCGUAUAAUAUGAAUACUAACCGUUGAAUCGAAUAUCAUGCCUUGUUUGUUUUUAUAACCCUAGUUGGUUUGAUAACUACACUGAUACACUAACACUUUGAGUGUGGAUUCUAGGAGAGAACAAAAUUUACAUGUUGGUUCCAUGAGUGAACUGAAUUUACCUCUUCAUAAUGUGAUUGUUGCAUGUAGGCCACUGAAUGGGAUUUGUGUUUAAAUAUUGGAAUGAUUCUUGUAAAGAUCAUGUUUGCAUGCUAAACAAUGUGGAUAGUAUUUUACAAAUCCUUGAUGAUCCGAAUUACUUGAAAGAUAUGAUGAAUCAGGUAUAGCUUGUUGUGUUGAUGUUAUUCAAGAUUAUUGUGCAUAUAAACUUGAGGACUAGGAGCCUAGUCUAUACUAUACUGUUAUUUAUCUAUUUUGCUAAGUUAUUGUUACUAGGUCGGGCUGAUGACUGGGGUCUAGUGUAUAGUUUAAGUUGUUGGGACUCUUUAUAGUUGUUUAGUAUAUAGAACAUAUCUAAUAAAGAUGAUUUGAGUCAAGAUGGCCGAGUUGGUCUAGGCGUCGGUUUCAGGUACCGAUCUAAAAGGACAAGAUUAUUAAUAUGAGAACUUGAGAAAGAAUAGUAGGUUGGUUACGUGGUUAGUGGUGGUCUUGCAUUCAAGAAUCUCUAUAUGAUAGAAGGGUUGGGUUAUGAUUUGAUAUAGAGUGACAUUAAAGAAAGGUUUUAGAAACAUUAGGGUGACAUAAUAAGUAGGCUUGAGAAGCCUUAAAGUGCAUCAAAGAUAGACUCGUGAAGCCUUAAAGUGUAUCAAAGGUAGGCUUGGGAAGUCUUAGGAUGAAAUAAUAGGUAGGCUUGAAAAGACCUACGGUGUCAUACAUAUAGGUUUAGAAAGCCAUAGGAUGACAUAACAAGUAGGCUUGGGAGAGUGGCAUAAGGGGUAGGUUUGGAAAUCAUUGAGUGGCAAGAUGAUUGAAUGUUUAUUGGUAUAGUUGGCAGCUGAAUAAGGUAUAGGCUUGGAUCAAAGUGUACUAGUUUAUGGACAUUAUGCCCGGAUGGUAAAAGCAUGUGGAUGUAGAUAUGAUGUGAUGUAACUUUCAUGUUAUUUCUAUUGAUACUACUCUUGUUAUGUCACUUGACAUAAUAUAGUUGCAUGAUUUCAAUGGUGUUUCAUAAGUGAAAAUGGUGAUGAUUUUCGACAGCUUCUACUCAUUUUACUUAUGUUGAGACUUGUGUCUUAUUUGUUUUAUAAAUACUUUUGAAAGCAUUUGUACCUAUUUAGAAUAGUUUCUUGGACAAAGUAUUUUGUUAUUCAUCAAGUUAAGAGUAUUUUCCAUGAUUAAAUAAGAUGUUUUAUUAUGUUUUAUUAAUUUCUGCAUUGAUCAUUUUUAAAUUGGAUGGUAAGAAUUCUCUUAUCUAGUUAUUAGAGUAGGUGCCUGCACAACCCGGUGAAUUAGAUCGUGACACAAAUGUAGUGGUCUUAAUUUUUUGUCCCCAUAGGAAAAGUCUUAAAAGAAUGACAUUCUUUCCACUUUAAGUAGAGUAAAAGGACAUUUUUCUAAUGCUUUUUAAACAAGGAAUUUAAAAUGUCUUUAAUGUAUCCUAAACAACUUUAAAAUGUCAUCCUUCUAUCUAUUGGUUCCAGAAAUAUCUUCAACGUUUUUUAAGAUUUAAAAUUAUCUUUAUUAACAACACAGUGACAUGGCAAAUAGUGGGCCAUUUAUUUAGACAAAUGACUUCAUUUUAGUGGUCAAUUUAAAAAUUUUAAACCAAAUACAUGACCGGUCUGAACUACAAAACUCAAACCCACCUAGCAAUCAUUUUCCAUAUUAACCUUAUAACCUAUCUUUGUACUCCCUUUUAUAGCAAUUCACAAUCUUUAUCGUAGCAACCCAAUGAUAGUGGUCUAGGUUACAAAUCACAACACCUUGUACGUAUGUUCUUCGUAUAAUACUAUUUAGGGUCUAUUAGAAACGUAAUCAUUCACCGACCUAUUUUCUUGUAUUGAAUUUCUAACGAGGAAUUUUAAUUUUAAAUGACUGUAAAUUCAAGAUAAUUUCUUCAAAGUAUACCAAACAAAUUGAAUUCAAAAACUUGCUUAUACAGAAAAAAAAAAGACAUGUAGAAUCUCCGGCUGAUAUUUAUCAAUAUCCAAGUCGUAAAAUGAUUGGCAAGCCAUGCAAAAACAUCUACUCAACAAAUCUUGAUCUAGAGAACAAAUUGAUUAUCCAAACAUUGUAAUUGGUCCAAUGACUAUGAAGUCAUCCUAUUAAUGGUUGGUACAAUACCUCCCAUCUCUUAUCUAUCUAAACUAAUCACCUCCAUUACACCUUCCUUAUCUUCCUGGUGAAUCUAUUUUAGCAAAGGUUAAUAAUACUCUUCUGAAUAGAGAUCUCAAGCUACAACUACUUAAACAUCACCUAUUGAGUGCUCAACACUGGAUGAAGCAACAUGCUAAUUCUCACAGGAGUUACAGGCGUUAUGAAGUAGGUGAUUGAGUGUACUUCAAAGUACUAGCAAGUCAACUAUUGCACGUCAUUCAUUCCAUAAGUCGGCUACUAAGUACUAUGAGCCAUUUCAGGUUCUUAGGUCUAGUUGCUUGCAUUCUCUUAUAGUUUCCUAGUUCAAUGAAGAUCCAUCCCACAGUUCAUGUUUCCCUAUUAAAGAAGUGUCAUGAAAUCUCAGAUCAAAUAUUUUUACCCCCCUUGUCGCUGAUUUGGCCAAUCCACACUGCCCUGUUCCUGAGUUGGUCAUAGGAUACAAUCCUAUGUUGCUGCUUGGGAGUUUGCCACCACCUUAAAGACCAGAUUCUCAUUAUUUGAUCAAUUAGGGACAAGAAUCUUGUAUUGGAAGGGAGUACCGAUACACGAUUAAAAGAGAAGAAGCCAAAUUCAAUUGUGGUUACAAUUCCAUUUAAGAGCAAUUAGUUGGUAACAGAUUUUGUUAUUAGCUUAUAAAGAGCUCAAUUUAGUUCAAUUCAACUAUUGUAUAGUUUGUAAUCAACUUAUUGUACUAUCAUGAUAUAAAAUAUACAAAUUCCUCUAUUAGAUCCUCCUUUUCUUCUUCAUCCUUGUUAAGUGUUCUCGAGAAACUCAUGAUACAGUGCUUUGAUCCUACAAUUGAGUAACACCUUUUUAUUCAUGGUGAAUUCCACCCUCUUUUUAUCCCCAGCAUGUAUGCAGCAAACUUUUACACAAUUUUAAAAUGUAAAACAGGAAAAAGUAGAUACAAUCUUGGACAAUAGAAUGCACCCUCCUUCCUUUUACUUUAGGUUCUUUAGUUUCUCUUGUGAACAUACAGAAGGUCCUUUAGUUUCCCUUGUGCUAAAUAAAUCUUAGAACAUACAAAAUGAGAUGCCAAAAAGACACAAAAAGAGAAGGAGCAUUUACAUUUAGUAGAAGAAAGGAAUAUUGUUCUACAAAAACUGCAGAGUGUUUUCAUAUAGCAUACUUCUUUUUAUGGUUAACUAACCUUCAAAACGAUGACAAAAUCGUACACCAAGUAGGAAACAAAAAAUAGUACUAGUAGUAAACAAUGUGCUGAUCACACAUUUAGUCCUUUACAUCAGUGACUCCUUCAACAGAAAUUUGAAAUCUUGCUUCUGCUUCAGCUAAGCAUGGCGAACUGACUACUUUACAAAUCCGCUCCUCGGCCCUACCCUUCCUCAGAGCUAGUCUGUCAGAAUUUGAAGAGAGUAAAAUAUCAGCUAUCAAGAUAAGCUGCGCCUGCAAGUUAUAGUUGUACUAUUAUGCGUACCUCGUCGUAGAAGCAUGUGCCAUGAUGUUGCCACCAAUGGGUUUUAUUUGAGGCCCAGCAAAUACAGCAGAACCAUCCACUUGAGCAACAACUUGGUUCGUAAUAACAACAGCAACACCAAACUGCAAGUGUAAAAGUAAAGGAUAGAUAGAAAAAGUAAGUCAAGAACCCCUAAUCUAAUUCUAAAACAUUAACCACCACCAAAGAGAGAAAAAUAGGAAGGAGGAGACUCCAUUUUGGAUAAUAUGCACAAAUGAGGGACAUGCUAAAUACCUCAUCUGCUAACUUCUGAAGGCUUCUCAGAAACUUUGCAAGAUGCAUCUGCCUGGCAGACAACUCUCCUCUCCCAGAGAAGUCAGUUCUAUAAAGGGCAGUAGCACUGUCCACAAUCAUGAGAGCAAACCUGCUUGAUCAAAACAGUUUUCAAAGUUAAGCUUCUAUCAGAGAUCUUUUUUAUGCUUUGAUGAGAUGAACCCAAAUAACUAAGGAAGCCACAAAUUCAAGAUUUUCACUAUAUUCAGGAAGCAAAUUUUUUUUUGAAUUCUAGAACACUUCAAAAAGAUUUAUUUGUUUGAAACAGGUGAGAGCACACUUCAAACAGAUCCAAGAUGUAUCCAAACAUGCAUUAGAUGUAAGAUGGACAUCCAUAAUCAAACAAAUUGAGAGCUGCUUCAAACUAGAACCCUUCAACAUACUCAAUCAAGAGUUGGAAUAUUCUCUAAAAGAUAUAAUCUAAGCACAUUUUCUUGCUCAAAGUAUCACAGCCACUGAGAAGCAUGAGAAAUUUUUUUCAUAAAUGAGCAGUGGAAUAUGGAGAAAGUUAACCUGGUCUCCACCAUCAUUGAGGCUGCCUCAAGCAAAAGUCUUGAUUGAUGAUCGGUAUUAUAAGCUCGAGCAUAGGCUACAUUCUCCAGGACAUCAGGACCAUUCAAUCCAUACCUGCAGCAUUUAACCCCACUGAUGACAACAGUUUGAACUUCAUAAUACCAGAAAAACAUGUGAGUUGAGUUACUAGUAGAAGACCUGUCUGCAAUUUGUAAAAGUCUUUGUGGUCUGAAAGUACCCUCAGCAUCAAUGUACAUUGCUUUCCCUUCACCACCUCCCUGAUCUAAUGGAAGCUGAAAUAACAGAUAAAGAAUGAUAUUUGAAUGAAUCUUGUGCACUUUAUUAUGGGAUUUUAAAAUUAAAAAAAUGUCUAUGUUAUCGUACUUGACAAGUCACGCAUAGUGUGUGACACAGCUGAGUCUUUCCACAUCGGAACUCUCCGUAAAUUUCAGUAAUAGAUCCAGUUUCGAUUCCUCCUGACAAGUGACAAAAAAAGUAUGAGGUUGUGAUGCCAGGUCAAAUUCCGGUUCUAGAAGUUCACAAAUUAGAUAAAUAACUACCUUCUAAUAUCUUGUCAAGUUCUUUCGAUCCAGAAGUUAUCUGUAUGAUUUCAAGCCUCUGUGCAUGGAGUUGGCUGGCACUAGUGAAUCCCAAAGGCACUAAUUUUGAAGCUGUUCAUAUGCAGCAUUAAAAAGAUUUAGUACCGAUUGCUGAUAAAAAAUUGCAGAAAUGGGUGAAAAAAGAAGGUAAGGGGAAAAAACAUCAGCACUGGCAAUGGCAGUUAAAUGAAGAGAGACAUGCCUGCCUCAAUAAUCUUGUCAACUUUAGCUUCACUAAUUCCUUUUAUCUGCAGAAGUUCCUUUCUUGGAGCAUAAACAACAGAUUCAACUGUACAUAGACCAGCAUCCUUGAGUUUUUUUACAUCUAGAGCUGCAAUCCCUGAUGCCUUGAGGACAAAAAAGCUAUAUGCCUCAGUAACUAAUGGACCAUUUCCUUUAAAAGUUGGAAGAAUUACAGGGUGUCAUUCAACAGAAACAACUAUACUACAAGCUAGACUGGAAAAAGAUACUCAAAGAUAUUGCCUCUUAAAUAUUAACAAUUCCAAGAAAAAAAUCUAGGAAAUGCCUAGUCCAGCUUUUAUGUACUACCAGUAAGAUUAAAAAAUCCUCAAGAGUUUAGGUUUCACUUCGUGUAAAUCUUUUUAAAAUCUGCAGUAUGAGAAACUUAUGAUAAGUACUUAUCUGAGUUACUGUAAAUGUUAAUCACUCGAGACUUAAAAUUCUUCAAAAAAAGAUCUAAACUGAUAAAAUCUUGUAAGGAGCAAAGCUGAUAAGCCAACCGCAUAACCCAGAUGCACACUAAAAUAUCUGACCAUCAACGCCCACCUAUUGGACCCUCCAUAUCAUGCGUCAUGAUGUAAAUCAUUUUGUGUCAAGUGCCUUUCUAGAAGCAGCUUUUCAUGGUGCCCUCAAUUCUGUACACUCUGAUAGUAACCUACAAAUUUCUAAUGAAAACUGGUUGUAAUUACGGGCAGCAAAACCAUUGUAGCAACAUCGUUUUUUUUAAUUGAUGACCUAGAAAUUUGUUUUGAGCCAACCCUUAUUGCCAACAAUAGCAUUCGAACUCAGGAAUGAUGGGUCACUCCUCUACCAUUCUCCACUUAAAUACUAAACUUAGGCUUGUCGCAGGGCUCCAUGACUCCAUCGAAACAUCAUACCAAAAAAACACUCAUCCAGGUUUUCAAGAUCAGUGGUAUCGCUUCGAGAACCCAUUUCACAAAGCAUUCUACAACAUUUAGCUUCAAAACUAAGGCAGUAAAGGACAGAUAGAUAUAACUGUAAAAAUAUUAGCUUGAAAUAAUCCACAAGAGCACUAUGAUAGCGAACCCAUUCCAAGAAGCCAAAAAGGGGACAGUAUAGAAAACCCCAAAACAAAAAAAAGCAUUUCCCAUAAGCGAGGCAGAUGAGAUUCAACCUUGAAAAAAAGCUGUUUCACAAAAUUCAGUUUUUUACCAUUCAAGAUUCAACCCAGAACCACAUUUCAAGAUUCAACAUUUAACCUACGAAGUACAAUUCAAGAUUCAAGAUCAGACCCAGCUACACUGAAUCUGAAAUCAUAAACAAUCACUAUCACCAAAACAACUACCCCAAUCCAAGAUUUAGGACACUUGAUAUAUAAAAAGGAUUGAAUUAACUCCUCAAUUAAGAGAAGAAAAGGGGGGAAACCUGAAGUUGUUCAACUGGAAAAGGGCCGUGUUGAACAUCCUCGAUUUCAUCAUUUUGGUCUUGCAUCGACUUCUGAUUCCUGUGCUGCUGCUCCAUUGCUAAUUUUCUUGAUGCUCACUGAGAAUGGAAGAAUGGAGGCAAAAGGAAAUAUUUCAAAGGCGUGAGGAGCCGCCAAAAAUACUGCAAAUGAAAUCGUGCUUCACAAGCUGUUUAAAUAAAACUAAUAAAUAAAUAAUACUUAGGAGGUGUUUGGUAUGAAAAAAACAGUUUUCUCUGAAAAUGUUUUCUUGGAAAAUAAGUGCAUUUCUAACUUAUUUUCUCAUGUUAGUUGGAAAGGAGAACAUUUUUUAAUGUUUGGUUGGUCAAUGAAAAUAAUUUUCAUAAAAUAUGUUUUUGUAUGCAACCGUUAUGAAUUUGAUGGUGAUAAAAACAGUUGACAAGCAAUAAUGUGUCCAGAAAUAUAGAGAAAAUUAGAAAAGAAUCACUUUUCAAGAACGUAAAAGGCUCAAAAAUACCCAUGAAAAGUAUUGGAUUACAUAUACCUUUAAAUUAUAUUCUGGCUCAAAAUUACCCUCCACUUAAAGUAUUGGGUCACAUUUACCCUUACUAUUAACAGAGGUGUGAAUAGUAAAGAUAAAUAUGACUGAAUACUUUAACGAAAGGAUAUUUUUGAGCCAGAAUAUAGUUUAAGGGUAUAUGUGAGUUAUUUUCGAUAGUUUAGGGGUAUGUUUUAGCCUUUCCCGUUUCAAGAAAAAUAAAUAUGAUUGUUUAAUGCCAAAUAAAUAUUCAAAAAACCCUUUUUCGGCCAAAUAAAUAAAAUUGACUUAUUUAUUACCAAUUUAUCUAUAAGUUGCUAUGUUAUGCCAUUUUUUUCAAAAAGGGAGAAACUACAUAAAUGGGCCACAAUACUCAAAAUAAUUACAAUUUUAUAGCCCAACUCAAACUAAUUUAGCAAAUAGCCAUUCACCCAAAAUAAAUUACAGUUCAUGCCCCCUUUAGUUUAGGCUCAAUUUCCUUGGAACCCCCUUUAAAUUUAGGCUCAAUUUUGCCUCUUUAAACGAAUGUGAUGACACUUAUCUAUUUCCAUCAAGACAAGUCAGCCUCAAAUCCAACAACAUGUAAGAAAUGUGGAAAGUUACACAAGAAUAAAAAACUUAUUCAUUCUAAUUGAUAAGAGAAAAAUAUCAUAUAUACUAAGUUAUUAUUUAAUUUUAGUACUAAUAUUUUUAAUCUUUGCGGAAAUGUUGCAAUGUAAUAAAAAAACAUCAACUAAGUAGAUAUGUGGCAAAAGAAACACAGGUGUUGAUUUUCAAGAAAUUAUCUAAGACAAAUGGAAAUAUUAAAGAAUUAUGAAAGAGAUGAAUGGAAGUUGAGCAAAUAUGACAAAGAAUUGGACUUUUUUUUUUUGUGUAGAACCCACAAGCUAAAAAUGGAAAGAAGAACAAAUGAGAAAGAUAGAAAUGAAGGAAUUAUCCAGCAAAUAUGGAAAAUAAAAAUUGGAAAAUAAGGUAGCAUGAUAUCUACCAAAAUAAAAAACAAGCAUAAGACAAGUUAAAUGAAAAAGUUUGUCAAAUGUUUCAAAUGUUGGUAUACAUUUGACCUGCCAUUUUUUUUUGUCAAAAUUAUCAACUACAAAGUGGAAAAAUUGAGAGAAAAUGGUGAUUUUCUUCUUCAGAGAAUUGCUAUAAAUUGCACAAGAAAUGAGUUGAUAUAGCAGAGUAGAGAGAGAGUCAAAAACAAAGCAAUCCAUAUAUUUCUUUAAGUUCUUCUUAUACUACUUUUUUAAGUAUUUCAUGUUGAAAAUUAUUCUAGUUCCUGCUUUUAAUUAAAUAGUAGAAUUAUUAUUUUUUGAAUAUUUCUUCUAUCUUAUCUAAUGGAGAAGAAUAUUUUCGCUAGUAGUACUAUUUCUAUUAUGGAGUAAUUUUCUUUUGUUUUGAAAAAUUGACGGAUCUUGAUAUUUCUACAUAAGUUAUUAUAUCUAAAUUUUAUGUGUGUGAACUUAAGCUAUGGAUUUCCAUUUUAUUUAUUUUAUAGUUAGAUGUUAUUUUAUUUAUUAACAUAUUUCCAUUGAUUACUACGUUUAACAUAUUACUAAUUUUGUAAUCGAGAGGGAUGGAAGAAGUAAUAUUAUUAAUUGGAGUAUUGAUAUAUUGUUAAUAUUGUAGUAACGUCUAUCUAUUUUAUGUUAUAAUUAAUCUACACUUAUUUGUAAUAGAAAGAGGCGAAUAGUGGAAUAAUUAGUUAUAACAAGCAAGUUAAUCGAAAGAGACUUACUUAGAAGAAUAUGUUUUAGCUCAAGUACACAUGUCUCGCUCAUAAAUAUUACUAUUUCGGUAAUUAAAUUGUAUAACCGAGAGGAGUGCAUAUAAUUGUUUAAUUUCAGUAAUAACAUAUAAUUAUAAUCGUGAGAGGUAUUUAUACUUUAUGAGAAAUAUAAAUUUAGAAAAAAAAAUUACUUUAUAUAGAAAUAUUGAGUGAGGUCAAGAUCCCCAACACCUUUUAAUAUAUUGUGAAAACUAAAGUAGUUUCUCUACUUUUUGUAUUAUUAAUUAAUUAAUUCACCAUUCAACAAUUCUUGAUUUUCUUAAAUAGUAAUUAAAACAACAAAUAUCUGUAGAAUAGACAAACCGAUCCCUGUGGUUCGACAUCUUUCUAUACUAUUAUUUGACAUACGGUGGGUUAAAAAUAUAUACAUUCAGUGACUCUCCACUAAUAUAACCCCAAAACCUAAUUGUCACGUGUACAAGCCACUAAUGUAUAAUGUGUGAAAUUGAAAGAUAAUUACAAAUCUCAAUGUCUUUAUUUUUCAAAUAGAAUAAAAUAUAAAAUAAGGAACAAGAGGAUCCGCCAGGAUGACAAAUAGUUACCUCUUAAAGUUCUCUAGAAGCCUCAGAAAUAGAUGAAAAGCAAUCACACGUAACUAGUCUCAAAAGCUACAUAAGUGUAGAAGAAAGGAGUGAGUACCAAACAACAUGGUAGUCAACAUGUAACCUACUAAACAAGACAAAACUAAGUUAGAAUAAGAGUACUCCUUUCAUCCCAAUCAAAACUGCUCAAACUGCAACUUGCAUAAAAUCAACCUAACCUAACCGAUUAACAAUACACGAUUUACAAGACUUGAAAAUCAUAGUUCAACAGUCACAAUCAAUAAACAAUAAGUAUCAAGUGUGACAAACAUACGUGUCAAGUAGAUCAAUUAGAAGCAUCAAAUUCAUCAAGGUACGACUAUCAAGUACUGAUACACUCAAACUUACUUCUCAAAUAAGAAGUAAAGCGGUCGUGUCAAGUAAAUAACUCAACUAAUGAGGUUGGGAUCGUUCCCACUAGGAAAAUAGUUUAGACUUAGCUUCAAUCUAUUAUUUCUAUUGUUCAGUCAAUUACUUCCUUGUAAAGCAAAGACGAUAAAAGGGAGGUUUCUAUUUCUAAAUAAAUGAAAAUAACUAACGAAAUUAAAAGAGACACUUAACAUCUUCGAAUGUUGGAAUUAAUCAAAGUAACUAGGGUUUACGUGUUCCCCACAGGUUCAUAACUUGAUAAUUCUAACUAUAACAAUUCUUUCCUUGUAUCUUGCAUGCAAAGUGAUAAGUUUUGUAUUUCUAAAUCCUUGGUCCGGCAUCUAGAAAAAUUCACUCCGCACCUAGGUCCGGCUACGUGUGUUGCUAUACUAACCCUUAUCUUUACCUCAUAUUAAGCAUCGUAUUCGAUAUUUGACUAAGUUAUUACCUCGUACCAAUCAAUACUAGCCUAUUAGAUAGUAUACACUAAAUCUACGUUGAUAAUUCUUUUCCUAUUAUCUACCUCCUUGGUCCGGUAAGUAGCAUGAAGGCGAGUUCUAACGUUGUCCAUCUGUUAAAAAGACUUCUAAGAGAAAGAAUUAUUAAUACAUGCAAGACACUAUUCUAGAAUUGUUAUUUUAGUUAGGUCUUACCUCAUUAUUUGCCUAUGGUUCCCACAACCCUACUUAUGGAGUUUAGUUACCCAUAGUCAUAAUCACAAUAUUCAAAUAUAUGAUAUAAGAAUUCAUGCACAUACUUCAAUGAGAAAGAGUAUCCGAAAGUUCGCUUGAUUAUUCAACAAAAAUCACCAACAAUCAAUUCAAAGAAUCUCAAAAUAAUCAAGAAUCUAACAAUAAUCAAGGGCCUAACCAAAUAAUCCAGAGUCUCACCUAAUAAUCUAGAGUCUAACCUAAUAAUCCGGAGUCUAACCUCAAAAACGAGGUUUUUCAAACUAUUUAUAGAAAAUAAAAACCUAAUUAAACAAGGAUUCUAUUUGCUGGAAAUCUGUCAAAAUGCGGCUGGGUCGACGGACCUCGCGACGGAUCAUCGUGGUCACGACGGACCGUCAUGGACUCCGUCGUCCCAUACUUGUGCAAUUUCUUCUGCUGCUCUCUUUAUUACCCUCGAUGUCAAGUAUGACGGAUCGUCACAGGCACAACGGUCCGUCGAGGGUCUCCGUUCCAAAACACUUGAACUCUUGGAAUAUGGGUACUGGGACUACUUCUCUGAACUUAACGAUGAACCUGCAGGACGGACCGUCAUGGACACGACGGUCCGUCACGCUUUCCGUAACCCCACACUUGGUCCGACUUCCCCAUCUUCCUUCAGCAGCUGCACUACGCUGCCACCUACGGACCGUCACGAGCAUGACGGACCGUCACAAGCUCCGUAGGUGGUCUCUUCUGCAUUUCUUCACUCAAAAACCUCCCAUUCAUCUUUGGACAGAUUUCCUCCAAAUAAGGAGAAACUUAUAUAAAAAUUAACACAAAAAGGCUUUUGGACAUAGUAAACUUAAGGAAAAAGUAUUAAUAAUGCCGUGAAACCAUGGUAUAUCAAGUACACGAACACAAAUCUCAAGAUUAUCAUGCACAACCUCAAUCAGGAUUCACGGAUAACCACUUGUAGAUCAGAACUCGUUAGUAAUGACCUCGACAUCCAUAACACUCGCGCACAAUGACUUCAACAUUAGUAACACUCACUGAUAAUGACCUCGACAUCAAUAACACUUAUCGAAAAUGACCUCGACAUCAAUAACACUUAUUGCAAAUGACAUUAGCAUCAAUAACACUCGUCGAUAAUAAAUCAACAUUAACAACCAUUAUAUCUCUCAUCACGGUGCACAAAAAUCAACGCAAAUAACCAAUCUCACACCAUCAAUUCUACUAGUUUUACAAGGUUUAAAAGAUUACUUGUCUCAAUUCAAUGAAAAGUCAAUUCAAGUCUUGAUCCUUCCCUUUUCGAACAAUCUCCAAAACUACACAAUCUAAUCUAAUCAAGUAAUCACAGUAAGAUUUUGAAAUCAACAAUACCCAAAUCAUACAUUUUGAUUUUGAAGAUGAGGUUUGAAUUGAAAAAUCUUUACUUGAAAGUGUAAUUCAAGGCAUUUGAAACUCAUUGGUUAAAACCAUUUCGAAAAAGGAGUUAAAAUCAUUUCACAAUCACCAUUUUAGUUUAGAACUCAAAUUCUUGAAAUACCUUGUUAUUUCCAAUCAAAACCCCAACUUUUGAUGUUAAAAUCCAUAAAUGAUAUAAGAGAAGUGAAGUUUUAAGCUCAUAAAGGCUUAUCCAAAUGAUUUAGCAGUAGAAAUCUCCAAAAAAUUUCCUCCAAGGAUUUUACAAAGCUCAAAAAUAGGAAAAAGAGGGCUUAACUCAGAAAUGACAGGCCAAAAACCCUCUCAGAUGUUGCUUAAGCGAACCUAACAAAAACGAGGGGUCUCACUUUUUGUGAACCAAACUCCUCUUAAUCGAUCAUCGCUAAAGUGAGCCUUGGUUCGCAGAGUGAAACCCACCAAAGUUUGGCCUUUAUGGAAGUGGAAGGCCAAUCAGAAACGUGAAGGGUACAUAACUCGACACCAGAAAAUAUCAGCCCAUACUCAACACAUUGAAAGAACCCUUGAGAUUCGUUCAAAACUCCGUACACACAAACCAUAUAUGUAAUUUUACUAUACUCAAUAGAACCAUCGAAACACAAAUUCAAGAUCUCAUUGACCCAAAACUCGUGAAAGUCGUAAGAAACGAAUAUAAUGCCUAAAAAGUCUAAAACAAGUUUGAGACCUCUAAAACUCAACCAAGACCUCACUUAAGUCUGACACCCCCGAAUCUAUUGAAAUUGUUGGAAAUUUAAUAUGAGAUAUAAAAUCAAGCAACAUAUUACUAGAUGAUAAUUUCAGAGCAGUGGUUUCUGAUUUUGGACUAUCGAGAUUAGUGCCUAUUGACAAGACUCAUUUAACAACACUGAUAGGGGGUACAUAUGGUUACAUAGAUCCACAAUACUUCCGCUCAGGUCAACUUACAGAUAAAUGUGAUGUAUAUGCCUUUGGUGAAAUUCUUGCAGAGCUUCUAACAAGACAAAGAGUUGUCAUUUCAAACCUACCAGAAUAUCCAGGUUUGGUUUUCCGUUUCACAUUAUCAUUGAAAGAAAAUCGUAUUAUUGAGAUUGUAGACCCUGAAAUUGUAAAAAAAGUUGAGGAUGAACAUGUGAUUCUUGUUGUUGCCAAAAUUGCCAAGAGAUACUUAAAUUAUAAUGCUAGGAGAAGUCCAUCCAUGAAGGAGGUGGAAGCUUAACUUGACCAACAAGGAAAAAUAAGGCGAGAGAAAACUCGUAAUGAGAGUUUUCAAGAUAACAUUAAUUUACCAAAAAGUGAAAGUUCUUGUAGUCAUAUUUCUGAUUAUACCAAAGAAGAUAAUCAGAACUCGAUGUCUCACAAUGAAAUGCAGUAAAUGCAAGAAGUUCUUGCCGUUGAUUUGGAGUCAUGCAGACUGGCUUGGAGUUUGAAGACUAGGGUGAGUUCAUGGUGUUUUGAGUUACCAGUUUCCAUCUUUUUUUGGCUAGACUUAGUCUUUAUAUUAUAUUCAGAGACAACUUGUACUUAUUUCGUAUUUGUAAAAAGCCUUAUACUCUUAUUUUGAUUAGAUAUGAUGCUCGAGCACUGACUAAUGCCAGAUCUUGGGGAUGGUUACUUGUAUUGCAUUUUGUUGAUUACUCUUUCUUACCUUUGUUGUAAGGUUCUUGCUUCUUGUUGUUGACUUUCUCUUGAUAGCCCAUUGCUUAUGAAUCUAGGAUAUGUGUUGACUUAUCUAGUGGUGGGGUGUACUAGUUAUCCAUAGCAUUAUAAAGUGCACAUAACAAUGUAUUACUAAUACAAAGGGUUAAUGCAUGCAUUAUUUUUAGGCAAAAGUAUUCAUUACCCCCUGAACUUGAAGCUUUUUAUUCAAGGUACACCUAAACUUUAUUUUGUUUCAAUUACCCCCCUAAACUUGCUUAUUCAUCCUACACGUACACUUUUUCCAUCCACUCAAUAUGAUCGUGUCUACAUGCGCACGACACGUAGAUAAGUAUUUUACCACCUAGAUAAAUAAUUUGCCACCUAGAUAAAUAUUUUGUUACCUAGAUAAUACCGACCUUAAAAAUUCACAAAUGUUUAAACUUCUGAAAGAAGCUUCUCGAUUUUCUCUAAACCUCUCUUUGAUAUUUUCUAAACCUCUCUUUGAUUUUCUCUAAACCUCUUACGAAAGUGUAAUUGACAAAGUAACGAGUACAUUUGGUAAGUGUAAUCGACAAAGUAACGGUAUAUUUGUGCUAGUUGCAGUUCGUGAAGCUUCUCGAUUUUCUCUAAACCUCUCUUUGAUUUUCCCUAAAUCUCUCUUUGAUUUUCUCUAAACCUCUAACGAAAGUGUAAUCGACAAAGUAACGAGUAGAUUUGGCAAGUGUAAUCGAUAAAGUAACGGUAGAUUUGUGUCAGUUGCAUUUCAUGAAGUGUUUGGUCGAUUUUCUUUGGAUCUUGUCCGAAAUUGUGUCUACAAGUGAUUAUCCACUCGAUUUCGCGUAGGCUUGAUGUAUUGCUGUCUGUUUUCUUUACUUUUUCAUACAUAUUUUGCCUAUUUUGCCCUAUUUCGUUUAACGUUUCGCCAUAGUUUCCGAUUGAGUUUCUGAUUAGGGGUCUAAUACUUUUCAACUAGAAUUUUCAUUUAAUGAAUGUAUUAUUAUGAAGCUUUUUACCUUGUUCAUGCAUGAAAUUUAGGCUUUUUGGUAAAAUUAAGGUUCUAAGUAUUAGGGUUUCUGGUAUUGAUAAAUGGUGGGGUAUUUUAUAAUUUGUUUAAGUAUAUUGUGUGGGAUGCCUAUUGUAUGUUGAUGAGUAAUACAUCUACUAUACUAAGUACCAAUUGUUGCUUAUGUUUUGGUGUUAUUAUAUAUGUUUUCAAUUUUAUUGCUUGCAUUGUACAAUAUACUGAUUAUUAUUGUCGUUAUAGGUUGACACUAUGACUAAUAAGUACCUCAAUUUAAGGUUCAAAUUUGGGGCUAUGUUGGUGAGUGAGGUAGGUCCAGUAUAUGUUGGGGGUAGGACUGAAUAUGUAGACAACGUGGAUGAAGAUCAUUUAUCAAUUCCUGAACUUGCAGAUUAUGCUAAGUCUUUUGGGAUUAGUAAGUUAGGAAAAACAUAUGCAGCUCCAUCUCUAGGGGGUGAUUUGGUGGAAUUGAAAAAUGACAUGAACAUUUGUAGCAUGGCAUUAUUUAUGCAUGAUGGGGACACAAUAGAUAUUUAUGUUUGUGAUUAAAUUAUUAUGGAUGAUGUGGGUCCCAGUGAAGGUCAAAUUAAUCAAUCUUUAAGUCAAGUGGUUGAGUCUUUUAAUUCAUAUGGGGAAUCUCUAACUGCACAACCAAAAAAAUCAGAUCUAGGUUUAGGUUCCUCUUCUUCCUUUCCAGCUACUGAAAGACUUGAAAAUGAUGGGAUUGUAAGGGUCGAACAAGAAUGCCAACAAGAAAGUGAUGAUGAUUAUUCUUCAAUAGAUUGGACUGAUACUGAAGAAGAAGUUGAACCAACUAUCCAACAAGGAACUAAACCUUCUAUUCAACAAGAAGUUGAGCCAAUUACCCAAGAAAAUGCAGAGAAAGACAUAGACAGUGAUUCUAUCUGUUCUGACCAGUCUAUUGACUAUGGAAGUGAUGUGCAUGAGGAGUUGAGUGAUGUGCAUAAAGAGUUGAGAAUUGUUAAGGAAGAUGUGAGAAAACAUAGAGAAAGUAGGAGGAGAAAGAAGAAGGAAAAUCCAAAAGUUUUUUUAGGUGAAGUUGGAUUUGAUGAAGGGUAUGAGGAUAUUGAAAAAGGGAAAAAGAAUUUCAAGGGUAAGCUAACAGAGGAUGAGUCAUACUAUGACAGUUCUGACUGUGAUAGUUUUCAAAGUGAUGAAGAAGAACCUGUUUCUGAUGAUGAACUUGAAGGAGGGAGUUUAAGGGGGAGAAAGAAGAGUAAUAGGGUGGUAUAUGAUUCUUCUUGUGAUAUUGUAAUAUGGCAGUGUGGUUCGAUAUUUGAAAGUGUAAAGCAAUUUAGGGAGGCAGUUACAAAAUAUGCUAUAAAAAAGGAGUUGAGUUAGAUAAGUAUGUGAAUGAGAGUACUAGAGUGAGAGUGAAGUGUAAAAGUGGUUGUCCAUGGCUGUUGUAUGCAAGCAAGGAAGGAAGGAGUGAGAACUUUACUAUCAAGACAUACAAUCCAAGGCACAAAUGUACCAGGACCCCCAAUAAUAUUUUGUGUAAUUCAAAGUUCUUAUGCAAGUAUCUGAAAGAUAGGAUUAUUUCUCAACCUAGUAUAAAAGGGUGGGAGAUACAAGAAUUGGUGAGGAAAGAGUUGAAUGUUCAUGUAGGCAAGGCAGUUUGUUUAAAAACAAGAAAAAUUAUUUUAAAGGAAAUUAUGGGAGAUCAUGUGGCAGAAUUUAACAGAAUCCUAGACUACAAGAUAUGUUACUCCAAACAAAUCAUGGUAGCACUUGUGUUGUGAAGCUUAAAGAUUCAGAAUCAGGAAAAGGGAUGAAAAAAUUUUCACUCUUUUUAUAUUUGUUUUUAUGCUAUGAAAAAGGGUUUUCAACAAGGAUGCAGAAGAUGUAUAGGGCUAGAUGGGUGUUUUCUAAAGGGAAUUUGUUGGGGUCAACUUUUGGCAGCUGUUGCUAAAGAUGCGAACAACCAAAUGUAUCCAAUAGCAUGGGCAGUAAUUGAUACUGAAAGCAAGUUGACAUGGAAAUGGUUCAUGACCAUUCUGAAAGAUGAUCUUAAUCUAGGAAAUGGUUCCCAGCUAACUAUCAUUAGUGAUAUGCAAAAGGUAAUUGAAUAUCUUUCUUUUGUUAUGUUUAAUGUAAUUGCUAAUUUAAUUUGACUAAAAUUUAACUUGAUUUUUUUGCUUUGCAACUACAGGGACUAAUAGCUGCUGUAGAUGAACUAUUUACAGAAUGUGAGCACAGAAUGUGUGCUAGACACAUCUUAGAAAAUUGGUCACAAAACUUCAGAGGCUUAGAGAGAAGAAAGAAAUUUUGUGCUAGAUCAACAUUUGAGGCACAAUUUAAGUACAAUAUAAAUGCCCUGUCCAAGCUGGGAAUAGGUAUUAUUGAAUCCCUUAUCAAAUACAACAAGGAGACAUGGUGUAAAGCUUUUAUUCAAACAUUUUCAAAGUGUGAUAGUAUAGAUAACAACAUGGCAGAGAGUUUCAAUUCUUGGAUCUUGUGACCUAGGAACAAGACCAUUGUAACUAUAUUGGAAGAAAUUAGAGUUAAGGUGAUGAGUAGAGUGAGUAAGUCAAGAGCAUUUGCUGAAACAUGGACAGAUGGAAUAUCUCCAAUGGCAAUGAUGGUAUUCAAUACAAAUGUAACAAGAUCAAUGCAGUGCAACAUUGAAUGGAAUGGUGAUGUUGGAUUUGAAGUGUUAGAAGUGGUAUACAAGCAUACUGUGAACUUGGGUCAACAAAAAUGUAAUUGCAGAUCAUGGGAAUUAAAAGGUAUCCCAUGUGCACAUGGUAUAGCAACAAUCAACCACUUGAACAUAGAUGCAUCACAAGCAAUAUCUAGUUGGUAUAGAAAAGACACAUAUAUGAAGACAUAUUCUUAUUUCACUCAACCAGUCCCAAACAUGGAAAUGUGGCUUGAAAGUAGAAACCUAAUGGUUGAACCACCUGAGGCAAGAUAAAUGCCUGGUAGGCCACCAAAGAACAGAAGAAGAGAAAUUGGUGAAGUGAGAAAAGUUGGAAAGUUGCCAAGAAUGGGGACAGUAAUGACAUGUUCACUUUGUAAAGGACCAAAUCAUAACAAGAGAAAUUGUCCAAAAAAUCCUAAACCUAAGUCUACACCAACACCCACUCAAGAGGUACAUUCAUAUUAAUUUGCUUUUAGAAAUUAUGUUAGAUUACUUAUUAAAUUUAAUGUCUUGUUGUGUUCUUUUUCCAAUCAUAUUAGUCCACCAUUGGAAAAAAGAGGGGUAGAGGUCAUUAUGAAAGAACAAGCACCAGUAAGACUGGUACAAGAAGAGGUGCAGGAAGUUGUUACAAGAAGAGGCCUAAAGUUGUUGGACAAAGUGUAUUUGUUGCUGAUACUAGAUAUACGUGUAUUAAUGUAAGUGUCUUAUAAACUGUCAGAAUUAUAUUUGUCUUCUAAAUGUGAAUCCCAAAAUAACUAUGUAGUUGAUAUUGUAGCAAGGAUUGUCUAGCAGAAGAAGGGUUAAUACUGGUGUGGUGAGUUUUGCACAUGUGACAAGUGAUAUUGGUUUUAAACCUACCAAGGGACUGAAGUGGAAAGGCAAACAGGCCAUGACUCAAAGAGAACUUCAAGUCGAAAGUGUUAUGCGUCGUAUUCAAACCAGAUCAAAAGCUCAUGACAUUCAAACAAGGUCACAAGCCAAAGGAAAAUUACUCUCAAAGAAAACUUCUUAGUUGUGUGGUUGCGUGGGUGUCCAACCGAACUUGAAAUAGUGUUUUAUGUGUUGAUGAAUCUGUGGUUGUUCAAACAAACUUAAAGUAGUUAUUGUUUAGUGUUUUGGUUUUGUGUGGUUAUUCAACUAACCUUAAAGUAGUGAUUGUUUUAUGUUUUGCUAGUUAACUUAAGUUAUUGUGGUUGUUGGUUGAAACAAUGAAACACUAUGAUGCUUCUUUUUUAUGAUCAAGAAAGCACUAGUUAUGUUAUGUUUGCUGCCUUCAUGUUAUUAUUUCAUGGUAUCAUAGUACCCAUUACAUGUAAUUGUAUUGAUCAGCAAAAACAACAAAAACAUACAUUAAUAGAACACCAAACCAAACUAAUCCACAAAAUGAGUACCCUAGAACCAAAUGAUUUUGCCUUAAUAACAAUUGCAUUAAAAAAAAUUCAACGACACACUAAAUAAAAGAACAAUAUCACAUUGCAUAUCAAACUAAUACCCAAAAUCAGUUUCAAUAUCCAUUUGCACUUGAGUUGUUCUUCUUGUUUGUUGAUUUUCUUCAACAAACCAAAAAUUACAAUAUUCGCUUGGGUAAGAAAUUCAGGAUCAUACCAAUCGAAAAACUUACAAGAAUUUCGAAAUGAGGACUGCAUUUCAUAAAAUCAAAGUUAACAAAAAUGAAAUUGCAUAAUACGAACUUGUCAAAUAAAAAGCAAAAAAGGAGUAACAAUACAUACCCCAUAGUGUCUACAACUGAAAAAUCUACGUCCGGGAUUGUCAUUUGUCCAUGAAAUUUUUAGAAUUGGAGGAGCCCCACAUAAACAAACAAGUCUCCUGUUAUUGUUCAUGAAUUUAGCAAUAACAAUUAAAACAAAAAAAAUGAGAAAAAUCUGAAUUUGAAAAGAGAAAAGGGAUAAAGAAGAAUAAAUAGGUAGAGAAUAGAGAGAGAAAAAUUCUUAAAAUAACCCAAAUAUUAAAAAAAAUAGAUUUUUACGUAUAUUAUCGUUGUAACUUUAUGAUGUGGCAAAAAUUGUUGUCUCACGCGCCUUGUAGAGUUUGAUUUCAGUUUCUAUGCCAGGUGGACGGAAAAGGUGUACGUGUAGGAUGAAUAAGAAAGUUCAGGGGGGUAAUUGAAACAAAAUAACUUAAGGUGUACAUUGAAUAAAAAGCUUCAAGUUCAGAGGGGUAAUGAAUACUUUUGCCUUAUUUUUAUUAAUAGACUCUAUCAAACAACCCAUUAUUUCUAAUCAGUUAUAUGAAAAAAAUAUGCUUUAUCAAUAUUGAUUUUUGAAUAUCAAUAAUUCUUGACAUUUUGAAAUAUGAACUUCAGUAAUAUUCUGGAACCUGGAAAGGAAAAUUUUACAGAAAAAUGUUGUUGAGUUCUGGUUCUAUGGGACAUACUUACAAACUGUAGAAGCUUCUACGGGCCGUGGGAAGUGUCUGUAGGAUUGGUUUGGACUUGAUCAAAUUUUAGAUUGGGAUCUACGUAAGGGUCUACAGACCGUAGACUGGUCCAUAGGCCGUAAAUCAGUCUCAUGGAAAAAGGGUAAGGAUUUUUGGUUUCCAGUAACUAUUCUAUGGAUUGACAAUUGACAAGAAGGACCGUAGGGUGAAUGACAUGUCGUAGAUGGGUCUCGUAGAAGUGAUCCAUACUUAGUGAAAUUUUAGGGUUUGAGUUAAUCUCUAUGGGAGGGUCCUACAGAUUGUAGAAGUUUCUACGGACCGUAAAAAGUGAUCGUAUGGAUUGUUUAGAUUUUAAGGCCGUAUUAAGUGAUUCUUUGACAGACCAAUACGGGCCGUAGGAUAUCCCACAGACCGUAGGUCGGAACCACAUACCUCUUCAACAGUUUAAAUGAAGGGCAUUUUGGACUUCUCCCAUUCCUUCUAAGCCUAAACCCCAAACAUUUUAUGCCUAAUUAAGGGUUUAUUCAGCAUUAAAAACCCUUUUACAUUCAAUUAAAUCAUAGAAGAAUUGGAUCAUGGUGUCCCGUAGGACACCCUUUGUUGGAAAAUUAUACCGUUUAUACAAGUAAAAUGAUAAACAAAGUGGUGAAAUAAUAUAUUUUAGACACCCUUGACACAACAAUAUGAUGUGGCCUAGUGGUUUCAGGAACCUUAAAAGAGUAACGACCCAGAAGAGCAUGUUCAUUUUCAACAAUUGGACACCGUUCUCAAUUUUUUUUCACUUUCUAAGAAGAACGGGUUCAGUUUUAACAAUUGGACACCCUUCUUGAAAUUUAUGGUUCCGUCACUAUUUAAUGGAACUACUGAUAAAAUUUAUUAUUUUUACAUAGAGAAAAGAGAAACUUUAAUUUCUAAACCAGUAAUGAGUUAAGAGUUAUUUCAGAGCAAUUACCUCUUUUAAAAGGAUAUUUUGAUAAGUUACUCAAAUUGAAAAAGGUAUGUUUAUACAUUUUGAAAAAUGAGUAUAUAUUUAUUUGGAGUAGUAUUGAGCACCGAUAUGGGAUUGAGUUCAACAACUUACAUUCUUCAUAAACCAUGCAACCAACAUGUGUAUAUCAUAACUUUUAGAUAACUCCUUAUUGCUUUCGUACAAAAAGUUUUAGUGGAUCCACUUAGUUGAGGUAUUCUAUAACCGAACAAGGUAUUUGACAGUUCUGGCGGUAUAGGCGAGAUGUCGUAUGAUCAUAUAACUCAUAGUGAUGGUUGUCGGUCAUAAAAUCUUCCAAAUAAGAUUGAAGAGUAAGUUAUUGUAUUUUUAUAUACAUCCCUGAAUUAGCAUAUUUUAUUUAUAAAGCUUUAUAUAUUUCACUUCUUAUUGUUGCUUUGUGUUGAGUUGAGUUUAUUCCAGCCUUAUCUAUUUAGUUUUUUAUUCAUUCAGAUUUAUUUCAUACUCAUACAUUUAAUGUACUGAUGUCAUUCGACCUGGAUCUUUUUAGUAUUAUGCAGAUACAUGUGUUCAGCAUCAUCAAGAUGCACUUCAUUGAGAUCUCUUUGCAUCCUAAUUAACUUUUGGUAAGUCUCCUUGCAUUUCGGAGGACUCCACUUUUCAUUCUAGUUUAGUAAUUUUAGGGUGUGUUGUAGGUCUUAUCCCGACAUCCAUGUUGAACUAUAUAGGUUUCAUAGAUAGAUAGGGUGGAGGAGUCUCACAUUACUUUAUUUUCUCGUGAGAUGUUUUGCAAACUAUUAUUAUUGCAUUGAGUAUUUUUCAUACAUUAUGAGUUGUGCAUUUUUACAAUUUUAAUGAUUUACUUAUGUUUCAAGGGUUUAAAUGCUUGAGUUAGUCUUCCACUAAGAGUUGCUUGGGAUCAUUAAUGAUUUUCGAGUGCCGACCACUAAUGAGUCCAAGAUUUCGACUCAUUUGGGCUUUAUUUUGAUAUUAUAAGUGUCCUCAAAUUCCUAAUUUAUGCUCUAAACUAAUGUUAAAGCGUUGAUUUGCAACUAUGAAGGCUAAGAAGCAAGACAAGGACAUGAGCGGACAAAAAGAAACUAAAAAGCUGAAUAAGUGAAGAAAAAGCAAUUUUUACAAUUUAAAUGAUUUACUUAUGUUUCAAGGGUUUAAAUGCUUGAGUUAGUCUUCCUCUCACUUGGGACCAUUAAUGAUUUUUGAGUGCCAACCACUAAUGAGUCCAAGAUUUCAACUCAUUUGGGCUUUAUUUUGUUACUAUAAAUGUCCUCAAAUGCCUAAUUUAUGCUCAACUAAUGUUAAAGCGUUGAAUAUGCAACUAUAAAGGCUAAGGAGCAAGUCAAAGACAUGAUCGGACAAAAAGAAACUAAAAAGUUGAAUAAGUGAUGAAAAAAGAUCCUAGUGAUCGCCAAGAAAAAUCAGAGCAUUGUCGAGUGGCUCUUAAACUCGCCCAAAGUUCCAGCAUGCCAACCCUAGAGAAGAACCAAGUGGGCACAGAAAUGGGUAGUCGACGGAUCACCGAUCAUUUAUGCGACAACAAAUUGGAUCUCUCAAAGUUACAUGACCUGAGAUGCUGAAGGCAAAUGGAAAAAUGGCGAUAAAAGAGGGCAAUCGGCGGAUCACUCAUCAACUCGGUGAGGCGUGAAUUAUUCCCUCACGUGCACUUUCAUACCAAAACGCAGGCAAUUAUAAAUUGGAUUACAGAAGGAAGUUCUCUAGUUCCUAGAGAUUUAUGAACCCCAAGUUUUAGAAUUAGAGUUUUCUCUUUGUUUUGGAGUUUUUAUAGUAGAUUUAGAUAAUUUUUAAGCUUAAUUUUGAGGAUUUGAAAGUGGAUCUUUAAAUUUACCCUAGAAAAACAUUGUAAAGGCUAGAAAAGUAUUACCCAACUGAUGGCCGAUCGAGUUGGUAAUUGUUUUUACCUUUUUAUGAUGUAUAGCUAAAAUCACAAUUCUUGGGGAUCUGAUCAUGUGAUUAUGGGAUGAAUUUAGCUUAUGGGUAUCGUUAUUUACUGAUUUUAAUGCUUAAUUGAAUUGAGUUUAAUUGUUAGUUGUGUUUUAAUAUAUGAAUUGUAGUUGCAAAUGCAAUUCUAGUAUAGGGCUUGCUUGAGAGAGAAGUAUUGGAACCAAAGCUUCUGAUUAAUGAUUAUAGUUAUCGAGUUUAUAUGAGUUUUUAUUGAAAGAGUAAAUUCUAAAUUUGAUUCUAUCCAUCUAGCUCGAGAGAGUGGGUGAAUUAAGUUGUGGGAUUUUCUUAUUUGCUAAGCUUGUUGAUGUUUAACAGUAAUCACCUGAUUUGUAAUAGUUGUUCGAGAGAAAACUAUUGCAUCUAUCGUCUAGCCUACCUGCUGAUAUUUUGCUAUUUAUUAGUAAUUUCAAUUAUCCAUACAGUGAAAUUUUCCUAUAAUUGAUUACAUCUCAGAUUCCCUCUCUAUACUAAUAUUUCCUCUGUUUUGCUUGUGUUGUAGCUGAUAGUUGACAAUCCAAACUCCCUCAUCUUACAUUCAUUGUCACACCCUUAGAUUUAUUUGCAUGUUUUCAAUAAAUUUUAUUCCUAUAACCGAAUAGACCACUUUAUAAUUGCACAACUGAAUUUAAAACAUACUGCUCCCUGCGGGUUUAACCCUAACUCUUCGUUCGGUUUUAUACUAAUUCACUAUCAUUUAGACCUAGAAUUGGAUGAGGUCUACUUGCGAUGUUAAUAAAAAUGACGUCGCUUCUGGGCAAUGGUGUUUUUUGAAAAUAUAUUAUUAAAGUUUGAAUUGUGUUAUUUUUGUGUUAUAGUUGAAUCGACUUACGUUGUUUCUGAUAGCUGUGUGGAAAGACAAAUAAAUGAGUGUAAAGGGGAUCAAUGGUAGCCAAAUUUUCCACCAAGAUGAUACAUGAAAUUUGAACAAUGUUAACGAUCCUAUCCAAUUGGGUGGCAUCGGAGCUAUACCUCUACUCAUGAGGAUCCCCAUGAGCAUAUCUGGAAUUUCAUCGAUGUUUGUGGAUAGUUUUCAUUCAAGAACAUGUCUUUAAUUAUUUCCAUUCUCUUUGAUGGCAGAAGCCACAAAGUGGUUGGCUGAUCUUCUGAGAAACUUCAGUACCACUUGGGAUGAGUAGAUGCUGCUUUCUAUGUGAGGUACUUUCCCCAUCAAUGAUGAUGACCAUAAAGGAUAUUGUUCAAGGGUACAAACGCUUGAAAGAUGAACCAAUCUACGAGACGUGGCUAGGGUUUAGAAGUUGUUACUUCAAUGCCCAACUCAUGUGCUGACUCAUGAUGUAUUGUUGCAAUACUUUUAAAUGAGUCUUGACUCGGUGAACAAAUGAAUUCUUAAUCAACUUGUUCUCGAUGGUAUAAUGCAACAACGUUGGGAUGCCUCAUCUCAACUCCAAAAUCGCAGGACCAAAAUCAAUAGAGCAUGGUACACUCGUGAGGACAAGUGGCACCUCUUACCUUUAUAUUGACAAAAGAGUAGAUCAAGAAUGAUCAAGCAAGAGACUGUCACAUGUAAAAAAUGAUGUCCCACAUGGACUUAUUAUCAAAAAUGUAAUGGGUAGUGGGUUUAGGAGUGUAAAUAUGUGGGUGUUGGUGGAACAAAUCCCAAUGAGGCACAGUUUGAAGCAUUAAACAAGGUGAAGUGAACUUCUUUGCAAAUCAAAAAGGAGGUUUUUGUCAAAAACUAUCAAAGGUCGGAUGGAAUUCCGGGUUGGAACAGAGAUGAUGGAUGGAGAGAUCAUGACAGAGAAUGGUGUGAUUGUAACGCCACUUGGAAAGAAAGAGAGGGAGAUAAGUAUAGGUACAUACCACCUUAUGAAUGUGAAAAUCCAAAAGAACCAAUGGUUGACUCGGAGAAUGUUUGAACGAAAGACAUGCUCUCACGUAUUCUCAAUAAGGUAGAAGGGUCACACAAGGUUUUGAAAGAAAUAAAAGAAGACGUCUCUACACGUAAUCAGACGGUCACCUCUAUUUCAUUCUCUAUCAAGAAUCUGGAGACACCUAAACCUAAGGCCAAAAGGAAGGUUGCCUAGUGACACAAUGACAAACCCCAAAAAUAAAGCUUGAAUUGGUAUUUUCUUCAAGCCAUGAUGUUAAAUAAGACACUUAUUGGAAGGCUUCCCUAGUUUUUGAUGUUUUAAAUUUUGUUUUUGAAUAACGAGUGUUGAUUUUGUAGGUUCAAAAGUGAAAAGUGUUAGGAAAUGGGCAACUUGACUGCCGUUGGAACCACCUAUAUUGAUGGGAAAUCUAUAAAUCUUGACAAGCUAAAAGCCUAAUCGGCGACUCACCGAACAAGUUGGCGAGCCCGAAUUUGUCCACCAUAUUAAUGGGAGCUCUGUAAAAGUCAACGAGCCAAAAUACCACUCGAUGCAUCGUCGAGUGGGUCGACGGGCACGACUUACUCCAUCGACUGGCGCGACCAAACAACUAAAAAUUUCAAAAUCCUUCAUAUUAUCUCAUUUUAAACUUUCAUACUCUUACCCCGAUAUUAUAUUUCUCAUAUUUUCUGUAUUUUUCUUUUGUUUCUUUGGAAUCCUUGCUCGAGAUUGGUUUUGGAACUUUUCCACCUAUUAUUUCAAUUAAAUUUUGGCAUAAAAGUUGGUUUUACGGACCCCGUACUCUAAUUUUGGUUAAACUGAAAUGAAUUCUGUGAAUUGUUGUGAUAAUUGUUGGGUAGUAUGGUUUAAUCACUGCUUAACUGUUGGAUUGCCCGUAAUUAAUUGGAUUUAUGUCUGAUUAUUUGUAAAUGGUUGAUUCUCGUGUCUUUGCUUAUUUAAAUCCAAUUUAAAUUGUUGAGUUGUACUAAACUUUUGUUGGUUCUAGCGGGAUGAAGUCUGAAUAACCCUUGAUUGUGCUUAAUGUCAUAUUUUGCCAAAUGAUGGAGCAAUUUGCAUCAUUCUUAAGGGCAAAAUACGUCAAAUGGCCAAUUUUUGGCCAAAUAAUGGGAAGUUUGAGUACAUUGAAUGCAUGGGUAGUAUGGGUCUUGAUUGAAUUUCAUAGUGUAUGUGUUAAAUUUUGAUUUUGUGGGUUGCGGGUUGGAUCUUGAAGAAGGGGUAAGAAACUAGCACAUGUUCCAUUUGACGAGCUGAGUCGAGCUUGUCGAAUGGUUCAGAGGUUUACUUAAAUCCCCUUAGACCACCUUUAAUUUCUCUAAUUGCUCAUGAGUUGUUGUUCUGUAACUUUUGGCGAUAUGCUUGAGCUCACCGAGUUCACUUGGCGACUCACCAAAAGUGCUUUUUGAUCACUCUUCUACGCGUCUAAUUCCUUAAAAUGCACGAUAACUUUUGGCGGCUACUUCUAGUCCGCCAAUUGAUGUCGAAGAUCGCUGAAACACCCUGUGCAUGGACAACCAACUUUUAUUUUUUGAAAUUUUUUUGCUAGAACUUUUAGCGACCUCGACUUGGCUCACCAAAGUGAUUUGGCGAGUCUUCAAGCAACUUAUUAUAUUCAACAAUUUUUCUCAAAUUUUUCUAAUGUUUUUCUAUGUUGUUGGCACAACUUAAUAAAACCAAUAUGACUGGUAGAAACAUGCCGCCCCAAAAGUGGUCAUGAGAAGUAGUUAUAAAUGAGGAAGCAUCUGCUUCCAAGGCUGAAGCCAAGAAACUAUCUCCACAUGGGGGUAAGGGCAAGUGCAAGAUACGCGUGGUAGUUAUACACCUGUGGAGGAGAGAUCCGACACGAGGGGGUGUAUGAGAUAUAUCUCAUAUAAUUCGGUAGUGAGAGGGACUCGUAGGGUUCUCAAGAUCCUAUCUCCGAGCCUGAAGAUGAUCUGUUAUUACAUGCUCGAAGAGCGAAGCUGCGCUCCAAAUCAAUAAAGGAUUUGUCUAGGAUUCCAAUGCCUUCUCCUCCUCCUUCUCCUCUGCUUUCUCCUCCGCCAGUACUUCCAUUAAUACAGGCAUCACCAGUAGAGGGUCCUUUUCUGCGGUCACUCAACAGACUAAAGUACGAGAGAUCUGGGACCAUAUUAGAGGAGAAGUGCUUGUCCACGAAUGGUAUGGUGGAUAAACAUCUAGUGGUGUGGGACACUCUCAGGUUCCACAGAUUUGAGGUCUUCACCAAUCCACGUGGCCCAUACAUUCCUACUUGGAUAUGAGAGUUUUACUCAACUUACAGUGGCCUGGUGCCUCUGAGAAGAAGAAGGCUAGUUUUCUUCAAGUUGGUGGACUUUAUGACCAUGCCUAAGACUUUAUAAAUGACUACCACAAUAUGAUAACGACAAAGACUCUAGAAUAUUUAAAAGGUUGGUUGCCCCAUUCUCUCUGACAACAACGUGAGAGGGAUUGAGGCCGAUAAGCCAAUAGAGAAAAAGACCAUAAUAAGGCAACUAGAAUUGGUUUGGUUUUAUCAGCGCACGGUCAUUCCAUCCCGAAAUGAGUCUACAUUUCUCCACCCAAAGACAUCCUGCCUUGGGUCUAUCAUUGCUAGGAAGAGGCUUAAUCUAGGGUUGAUUAUAGAGCAAGAGAUGGUCAUGAGGGUCAAGCUGAGUUAGACGUAUCUCUCAAUUUUGGUAUUAAUCACCAAGUUGUGUCAACGACACUAGAUGAAAAGAAGGAUGUCAAGGUUACAUCCAUUUAUUCUACCGACAUUUGGCGUAUAGAGGCCCAGUACACGAGAAAUAAGGCAGACAAGAGGAGAGCAGCUCCGGUGGACACAUCCUCAAAUGUUGACAUUGAUAUGAUACCUCCAAAGGCAGUCGGGCAUUCUCCGACCACUAGGGCUUUAGUUCAUUCUAGCUCAACUCCUUCUGAUACUCCUGGCACUUUUACUGCACCUCUUCCCCCUAGAUUUGUUAUUCGUACUUCUGCUUCUUGGCCCCUAUCAUUAAGGCUAUGCUAUAUAAGAUAGGGUAUUUGGUCUAAUCCAUCGAUUUGCGUGCCUUACAAUUAGAGGUCGUGAUUUUUAUGAUGAUCGAGAGAGCCAUUGUUGCUGUAUUGAUACCUUUCAUAGCUUCAAUUGAUGUCUUUACGAUAAGAGUAGAGAUAUGUGAGAUAGGACAGGGAGAGACUGAUGUACUGAUGACCUUGAAGGUUGAUCUUGUUGGACUUCGUAAGUAUGUGGACGAGCUAAAGUCCACCCACCUCUCCAUCCUCUUUGGCACUGUGGACAUACCAGAUUCCCUGAGUUAAGAUAUUCCAGACUGUUUAGAUGUGUCUGCCGCUACAACAAUUGGAGAUGAGGUUAGAUAUGAUGACACUGAUACUAAUUCCGAGGUUGAGACAGAUGAAGAACAACAUGGAGAGAAAGAGAAUGUUGUCUAUAAGGACCUGACUUUCGUGGAGGUCGCUACGUUCGAGACUACAAAAUAGGCAUUGCUUCAAGAUACUUUGAUGGUAGGAUCCAGCUUAGCGAAGGCUGCUUAGACACUAGACAUUGAUGCCUAGACAGAUGGAAUGACUGAUGUGUAGACUUCAUUUUAGGCCUAGUCUGGCAGGAUGAUUAAAUUCUACCUCCCUCUCUGUUCUUUUUAAACCAUUUCUAUUUUUAGUUGUAUUUGAGGACAACUGUAUUUUUUUGUUUGCAGGCUGAGGUAUUUCCAUACCUAUCUCUUUGUGGGAUGUUUUCAUGAAUAGUGAGAUUAUUGGUUUAUAGAUAUACAUCUUUGUUGUGGUAUUGCGGUUGUUCAUAGCUUGUGACCUAUUGUUUUAAUUGAACAUGGUUUUGUGCCAAAUUUUAGAAUUUUCCACCUUUUUUGUGUGUGAUUAUGGCUAUUCUUGUGCAAAUUUCAGUGUCAAUUUUGGUCAAUAUUGAUUACUUGGAUGGUGCUCUUAAUUGAACAAAAAGAAUGUGCGGCUACGAUGACGCAAACGCAAUCACAUAGGCAAUAUGUGAACUUUUAGCAUCUCGUUCAGACUAGCUAGUUGUCGAAUGAGUCUCUUAUGAUGAACAUUGCACACUAGAUAGAAAGUGUGGAGUCUUGUUUGAUAAUUGUAUCAAUGCCUUGUGUGGUGAGGAUACCUUGAACAUUGUGCAUGAUAAUACCUAUAAUUUUUCCCAUUGGUCCGUUGAUUGAGUGAUGCAAGAAAUAGACAUGAUCUUAGGCAAAUAUUUUUGAAGAGUGAGCCUAUUUGACAACAUAUCUCUCUGUGGCCAACCUUGUGAGAAGUGUGAACCUUGCUUGGACCAUUUUGACCCUAACCUUUUCUUGGAAGAAACUUGAACAAUUGUGACCUCUUUUUAACCCUUCACCAGUAUUUUCAUGAAGAAUGGUUUGUUUGAAUAAUCAACUUAUGCUAAAAUCUUGAUUUGGGAGUGCGGUGCAAAAGAAGGAGAAUCAAGAAGUGUGAAAUAUUCUCCCGAGAUGGAUUGUGUUGUAAAUAAUGGAAACCCUUCAUAUAAAAAAUAAGAAAGAAAAAAAUAGUCUGGAAAAGAGAAAAAGUUGUGAAAUAAAGUUGUAAAAGUAGCAAAAGAAAUGGGGUAUUCAAUGAUUCAUGCCUAGUCGAAUAAUGGAGUGAAAGGUGAUCAUGUUUGAAUCCAUACUUCUUGAAGGUAGAAACCACUAAGCCUAAAUUGUCCUUUGCACCCAGUCUCAUUACAAUCCUUAAUAAGACCUUUUUGAUAUUGAGUGAGCUGAAGCGAAUGUUGAUUGAAAAAUAAGGGCAAGCCUAUAAGUGGAGUCAUGCAUGUGUUCAUCUUUGUGAGUAUCAGAGUUGUAUGUGAUUUCAGAAGCUUAAAUUGUUGAGAGAUAUUGUGUGAAUAUGGAAUCAUCAUUAUUAUGAGGGCAUAUGAAUACCUUUGUUGAGCUUAAACUUACAUUUGAAGCAAGCAUUUUGAGUUUGAGUACACUUGAUGAUGGUGAGACACAAUUUGAAACUUUGAGUGCACAAUUGAUCAUUGCAUGAGUAGUAUGAACCUUGUUGUGUGCAUUUAUAUUUAGUCUAAUGCAACACUGUUUGUAGACAUCUUUGUUGAACUGAUUGAUUUUGAGUUUUACUUGAGGAUAAACAAAAUCUUAAGUUUAAAAAGCGUUGAUGAUUUCAAGAUUUCAAUUUAUUUAGGCUUUAUUUUGAUAGUAUUAAUGUAUUCAAAUGCCUACUUUAUGCUCUAAAUUGAUGUUAAAGCGUUGAUUUGAAGCUAUGAAGGCUAAGGAGCAAGGCAAAGACAUAACCGGAUAAAAAUUAACUAAUAAUUUAAAAAGUGAAGAAAAAGCGAUCCUGGUGAUCGCCAAGACCAUUUUGCGCACCGCUGAGUGGCUCUUUAGCUCUCGCAAAGUUUCAUCAUGACAUCCCUACGGAAGAACCAAGUCGGCAAAAGAAAUAGGGCAAUUGGCAGAUCACCGAUCAGUUCCUCGAAAACAAAUUGGAUUGCCCAAAAUUACAAGACCUGAGAUGUUGAAGGCCAAUACAAAAUUGCGAUGAAAUAGGGCAAUCGAUAGAUCGCCGAUCCACUCGAUGAGGCAUCAAUUAUUACUCAGAGUGGACUUUUAGGCCAAAAUGCAGGCAACUAUAAAUUGGAUUUUAAAAAAGGAAGUUCCCUAGUUUCAUGAGAGUUUUGAUCCCCAAGUUUUAGAAUUAGAGUUUUCUCUUAGUUUUGGGGUUCUUAUUGUAGGCUUUUGAGAAUUUCUAAGCUUAAUUUUGAGGAUUUGAAAGUGAGUCUUUGAAUUUAAAUCUUGGAAAAUAUGUUAAAGGUUUGGAGACUCUUACACAACUGAUGGUCAAUCGAGUUGGUAAUUGUUUUUUACCUUUUUAUGAUGUUUAGAUAACACCCCAAUUCUUGGGGCGUGAUCAUGUGAUUAUGGGUUAAAUUAGCUUAUAAGAAUUUUGUUUACUAAUUUUAAGUCUUAAUUAAAGUGGGUUUAAUUGUUAGCUGUGUUUUAAUCUAAGAAUUGUAGUUGCAAAUGCAAUUCUAGUAUAGAGUUCUGGACUUGCUUAAGAGAGAAGUUUUGGAACCAAAGCUUCCGAUUAAUGGUUGCAUUAUCGGGUUGAUACGAGUUUAGCUCGAAAGAGUAAAUUUUAAAUUCUAUUUUACCCAUCUAGCUUAAGAGAAUGGAUAAAUUGAGGUGUGAGAUGUUCUUAUUUGCUAAGUUUGUUGAUAUUCGAAAGAAAUCACCUGAUUUGUAAUAGUCGUUCGAGAGAAAACUAUUGCAUCUAUAGUCUAGCGAACCGGUGAUAUUUAGCUGUUAGUAAUUUCAAUUAUCCAUACAUUGAAAUUUGCCUAUGAUCGAUCACAUCUCGAGAAUCCCUCUCUAUAUUGAUAUUUCCUGUUUUGCUUGUGUUGUAAAUGAUAGUUAAUAAUUCAAACUCCCCCAUCUGACAUUCAUUGUCAUACUCUUAGAUUUAUUUGCAUGUUUUUCGAUAAAUUCUAUUUCUACAAUCGAAGAGACCACUUUAGAACUUCAUAAGUGAAUAUAGACAAUUACCGCUCCAUGUGGGUUCGACACUAACUCUUCGUUGGAUUUUAUACUAAUUAACGAUCGUUUACUUCUAGAAUCGGAUGAGGUGUACUUGAGACGUUAAUCAAUCACGUCCAAGAUGUACACUCGAGGCGUGACAACUUCUUUGGAAACAAACGUCAUUUCGUUUUAUUAUUUUAAUUGUGUAAUGUAUUUAGGCACUUCAAGAAUUUUUAAUAUAAGCUAAAUUAUUAAUGAAUGAGGAGAAAUAUCAUUAUACUUUUGUAAAUCAACUCAUUACUUAAGAGAUAUUCUCAAUUUAUAUAUAGAGUAAGAUAAAUUUACAAAAACAAUAAAAUGAAAGGCCACACGAUAUACUUGGCCUCAUUUGUUUGCACUUAACGGAGGUGUGGAUGUGAAUGAUUCAGACAUUAGAUCGUUAUUAAUUUUCUUUUUACUUAAAAAUAUCUUAAUGGAUUUGAAAGUGUCAGAAUGAAUCAGAUUUGUGAUAGACUCUUAUUAUCAUUGAGACCGUUUAAAAGAUACUUUUAUUUUCGAAAAAAAUUGUGCUUCAUAUUUUUUUUCUUCAAAAAAAAUUCAAGCCUCUCUUAUUCUCCAACUUUAUUAAUUAUCCAAAUUAUUUUUCUUAAACUUUAAAUUUUUGUUCUUGGGACUUGUUUAUCAAGAAUAUAAUAAAAUUAAUUGUAAAGUUUUUAUUUGACAAAAGUGCGAAAACAACUUCAUAAAUAUUUGUUUUUGAAAUUAAAAAAAAAAGAUGACCACAUUGUUUUCAAACAAUUAUUUUUAUUAUUUUAAUUUAUAUAUAAUUCCAUUUAGCUCCAUUUUAUUUUUAUUAAACUUACAAUAUAUUAAUUUAUAAUUAUAUAUCUUAAUGAUUAUCAAGGACUGGUGUUGUUCUUCUAAAAUUUUGCUAAAGUAAUAUUUAUUGUGUUUACAAACUAAUAAAAUUUUUAUAUAUAUAUAACAAUCUUAAUAAUUCAGUGUUUAUAUUUAGAGACAAGAUCUUAAUAAUUUAAAUACAUUUUCAGAUUGAGACUUCUUUAUCUUAAUAAUGAAAACAAAUGAGGUCGAUUUGAGAAAAAAAGGAGCAAAUAAAGUGAAGGUAACAUAACAAAAGGUUGAUACUAAGUAUAAGAAGAUGAAAAUGUUAUUUUAUUAAUUAAGUAAUUCAAAUCAAUUAUUUAAUAAGCGGAAAAGGGUUAAAAUUGUCCCUAAACUAUUCGAAAUAGACUGCUUAUACCCUAUUAUAUUUUGAACCAAGAAUGUCGGUUGUUACAUCUGAGGGAUCACAAAUACCGUCAAGAAUUAACAGUACUAAUAUGACAAGCCACAUGACACUAAUUUCACCACCUAAAAUACCUAUUAAAUUUUGACCCAAUCAAUAACUCAAACCCAUUUUUGCUAGACCCAACCCACUAAAUUUAUACUCAUGUUAACUAUUACUUUCGAAGAUUAGUGGCUAAUUUUGUAAUCAAAGGGUCUCAAUUUAGAAACAAACUCCUAAUUCAAGUGAAAAAAAUCAAGUUGAUGACUGUGCAUGUAAUGUUUAGUGGUUCAAAUAGAGGGUUCUUCAAAAAAUUUAUCGUUGGUCUGCUGCAUUGAAUAGUGAAAAUGAGGUGAAAAAGAUAAUGUUUCCCUCUUAAUUUUAGUCGGACGGGUCUAGUUAAGAAUGGAUAUGGUUUGAUUAUUAAUUGGAUCAAAAUUUAUUUGGCAAGUUUAGGUGGUAGGAUUAGUGUCAUGUGGCUUGCCACAUUGGUGUUGUUUAACCGUUGGAAAUAUUUGUGGUCUCUUAGGAUAACGAUGAGGACAUUUUUAUCCCAAAAUGUUGUUGGGUUUUAUUUGCCCUGAUUUCUUACCAUAAAUAGGUUUUCCUUUUAGGAAAAGGUUUUGAAUUGACUAUUCUUUUUUUUGGUAGGAAAAGGUUUAGGACUCUAUAAAUAAAGGCAUGUUCCUUCUAACUUAAUGAGCAUUCACAAUGUAGUUUUAAGGGCUUUGAGAGUUUUGGUUAGAGGGAGAAUUUGUGAACCUCUCAUGUAUUCCGAGUGAAUUGGUUGAGGUUGUUUCCCUCUGUAUUUUGUACUCUCAUAUUUAUAGUGGAUUGCUCAUCUCCUUUGUGGACGUAGGUCGAUUGACCGAACCACGUUAAAUCUUUGUGUCUUUUGGUAUAUUUCUCGUUGUCUUCUUACUCGUGGUCUUUCGAGGUUUGCUUUGCUAGUUUCCGCGUUUACACCUGCUUAUUUUCGGUCCUAACAAAUGUAACCAUGGGUAUAAGUGAUUUAUUUUUCUUAAGCUUAAGGAGAAUUUUGACCCUUUUCCGUUUGAUACGAGGAAAUUAAAUAAUUUGGUAAUAAACAAAAUGGUCAAUCAACUUUUAAAAGUAUUUGCGUAAUUUAACUUUUUAACAUGGGGCUUCUCACUCAUGAAGUGAGUAAUUUUAUGAUAUGAUGAUACAAUAUGAUGAUUAUCAACAUAUCAAUAUUAUUUUACGUCAAUUCUCAUAAAAUGCAAUUUAAAAUGUUGCGAUUUGUUCAAACAGCAUACAAAAGACUUUCCUAUUACAAAAUUAUUGAGAUAGUGAUAGCUAGGGGUGUACAGACCAAACCAUAAAGUCAAAUCGAAUCGAUAAACCAAGUCAAAUUGAGAAAAAAAAACCGACUCAUGGUUUGGUUUGAUUGAUUUGGCGUUGAAAAAGAAAAACCGAUCAUUCUUUAUUUGGUUUGGUAUUAAUGCUCAUAUUUUGAACAUAAUUGUAAAAGAAGGAUUAGACAAACAAACUGAGCCAAUUUCUUGCAUAAGGAAUGCACUGAAAGUCUUCUGCUUCUAGGUUUGCCUCGUUCAAGUCAUACGUUGAGAAGACUAAGCUAGACACUCGUGGUCUCUUAAGUCUUGAUAUUGAAACUAGGUGGAAUUCUACAUUACGAUGUUAGAAACUGUUGUAAAUUUUGAAAAGGACUUUGCAAUAAUUUACAUGGAUGAUCGUAACUAUUGAAAGUAUUGUCUUCGAAGUCAAUUGAAAGGACAUCCAACUACAAAUGAUUGACAACUUGUGAAAGGUUUUAUAAAGUUUCUUAAAAUCUUCUAUCAUUAUAUUUUAAAAUUUUUAGGGAGCUUAUAUGUUACUUCUAAUCUAUUCUUCCUUGAGUUUUUUAAUGUUCGAAGUUCCAUACUGAAGUACUCUUAUAGUGAAGAUCUAAUUUCGAUUGAUAUGGUUGGAUCACGAAGGUUAAGUUUGAUAAAUACUGGAAGAAUAUUGAGAAACCUGAAAAUUAGAACAUGUUGUUGUUUAUUGCUAUUGUGUUGGAUUCUAGGUAUAAGAUGCGAUAUGUCAAUUUUAUUCUUGGCAUAGCAUAUGGCUCCUUACUGGGAAAAUUAAAGGCAGAUAAUGCUAAAGGCGUCUUGAAAUGUUUGUAUAAUCACUGUAAUCAUUCUUCGACUGGAACUUUUACAGAUAACAUUGGAGGUGAGACUAACAUGAUGGGUGAAGUUGAUGAUAUAUUGCAUUAUGAAUGGGAGAAACAUUUAGAAGAUGAUGAAAAAAUUGAAAAAAUAUGAGCUUGAUCAAUAUUUGAUGGAUAAUGUACAGAAGCCAAACGAUUUUAAUUUCUUGACUUGGUGGAAAGCUUCAUCGAAUAGAUAUCCAACUAUUUCAAAAAUGGCAAGGGAUGUUCUUUCUAUUUCCGUUUCCACUGUUGCAUCUGAAUCAACUUUGAGUACAAGUGAUCGUAUUCUUGAUUCAUAUCGGAGUUCUUUAUCACCAAAGACAGUAGAAGAUCUUAUUUGCACUCAAUCAUGAAUACGGUCACCUUCUAAAGAAUGGAAGGUUCAAGAUUAUUUGGAGGAAGUUCAAAAAAUUGAAGAAGUUGAAAAAGGUAAUUUACUAAUUUAAUUCUUAAUUCUCCCUUUUUGCUAUUAAUUUUCUACUUUGAAAAUAACUUUAUGCUAGUUGCUAACUAACAAAGUUGAGUUGAAAAGUGAUUCAAUAUCUAAUUACUCAUUUAUGUGCUAAUAAUUCUUUUCCAGGUGCUCCUUUGAGUAUCGUGUUGUGCGGAAUUUGAGAUAAUACGAGAAAAUAUAAACGCGAAAAACAAGACAACAGAUUUACGUGGUUCACCAAUAAAUUGGCUACGUCCACGGGAAGAGAGGGAGCAGUUUUAUUAUGGAGAGGCAAAAACAGAAUUACAGAAUAGGGUUUGCCAUAGCGUCUAUAUAUAGUGCUAAACUACGCCCUAACAGGCUUGGGCCCAACAUACAGAAUUGACAGAAAAUUAAGGGCCCCCGUCCUUUCUGUUUGUAGCGGGUCCGAUUCAAGGCAUUCAACAAAUCUCCACCUUGACUUGAAUUCUCCGAACAGAUUCUUCAGACGCACUAUGAUAGUGCCAGGCCUCCCCCUCUUCCUCAGAGUUGCCCCGCAGGGCAAUUAACAGCUUCUGAUGUUGAGCAAGUCCAAACAGUGUUGAAACUUGCUCUGUGGAACCGGCUUUGUGAACAUAUCAGCAGGAUUAUCAGCAGUUCCUACUUUCUUCACCUUGAUUCUCUUCUCACUUCUCAGAAAAUGAUACCUUACGUCAAUAUGCUUGGUUCUCUCAUGAUGGACUUGAUCCUUGGCUAGACAAAUUGCGCUCAAACUGUCACAAUACACCGUAGCCUGAUCAUGAUGCAGACCAAGAUCACUAACCAGCCAUUUCAACCAAAUCCCUUCUUUUGCAGCCUCUGUCAAGGCCAUGUACUCCGCUUCCGUAGUAGACAAAGUCAUUGUAGGUUGCAAAGUUGCCUUCCAACUGACGACAGAUCCUCCAAGGGUAAACACAUAGCCAGUCAUCGACUUCUUGUGUCAACAUCUCCAGCAUAGUCUGAAUCAGAAUAGCCAGUAACUAAGCACUGAGUAUCACCUCCAUAAAUGAGACCAACGUCAGAUGUACCUCUAAGGUACCGGAAAAUUCUCUUCACAGCCUGCCAAUGUUCUCUCCCUGGUUGUCCCAUGAAUCUGCUCACUACACUGACUGCAUGUGCUAAAUCUGGCCUUGUACAGACCAUAGCAUACAUCAAACUUCCUAAGGCACUGGCAUAAGGGACUCGUGACAUAUACUCCUUCUCUUCUUCUGACUGUGGAGCGAACAUGGCAGUGAGAUGGAUAUUGGCAGCACUGGGGGUAUCAAUGGGCUUAGAUGAAGACAUGCCAAACCUCGCCAAGACCUUCUGAAUGUAGCUUCUCUGUGACAAGAAAAGUUUCCUUCUCUCUCUGUCUCUAAUGAUCUCCAUCCCUAAAAUCUUUCGAGCGGCUCCCAGAUCCUUCAUCUCAAACUCAGCACUAAGUAAACCCUUCAGCUUCUGAAUGUCAUACUUCUUCUUUGCAGCUAUCAACAUAUCAUCUACAUAAAGCACCAGAUAGAUGAAUGAAUCAUCAUUGAGCCUAUUGUAGUAGACACAACAAUCAUAUGAGCUCCGAGUAUAUCCCAACUUCACCAUAUAGCUGUCAAACCUUUUAUACCACUGCCUUGGAGACUGCUUAAGUCCAUAUAAGGACUUCUUCAACUUGCAGACGUGAUUUUCCUUCCCUGGAACUUGGAAACCAUCCGGCUGAGUCAUGUAUAUCUCUUCCUCCAACUCUCCAUGUAGAAACGCUGUCUUCACAUCAAGUUGUUCAAGCUCCAGAUUCUGAUGUGCAACUAUCGCUAGUAACACUCGGAUGGAAGUAUGUCUGACCACUGGUGAGAAGAUCUCAUUGUAGUCCACUCCCUCUCUUUGGUUGAAACCUCUGGCAACAACCCUGGCUUUAUACUUGACUCCUUCUGCUGGUGAUAUCCCUUCCUUCUUCUUGAAAACCCAUUUGCAAGUAAUAAUCUUUCUCCCCGAAGGCUGUAUGACCAGAUCCCAUGUCUGAUUCUUGUGUAGGGACUCCAUCUCAUCUCCCAUAGCGGCAAACCAUUUUUCAGAAUCAGAACUUAAAAUGGCUUCUUUGUAAGUAGACGGCUCAGAUGUAUCUACCUCUUCAGCAACCUGCAGUGCAUAACCCACCAUGUCCUCAAAACCAUACCUCGUAGGUGGCCGAACUCCAACCCUCCUUGGCCGAUCUUGAGCUAUACUCUGAUGGAUAUCUGAUGGCAUAGAUUCUGGAAUAUCAGUUUCUGUCUGUGGCUCUUGAUCCUCCUCUUCAGGUUCCUUUAAAUCUCUCUCGUUCUGAAUGACUAGAAACUCCACCUGUUUGUCAAGACUCCCAGUUUCUGACGUAGUUGUAGGCUUCACAAUGGUUCUAAGAAGAGAACUUUCAUCAAAGACAACGUUCCUGCUCAUAAUAACCCUCUUUUCUGCUGGAGACCAGAUUCUGAAACCUUUCACUCCAUCUCCGUAGCCCACAAAUACUCCCUUUUUAGAUCUUGGUUCUAACUUACCUUCACUGACGUGAUAGUAAGCCGUACAACCAAAAACUUUCAGAUUUGAAUAAUCAGCAGCUUUUCCUGACCACAUCUCCAUAGGUGUCUUGCACUGUAUGCCUGUAUGUGGUCCGCGGUUAAUCAAGUAGCAAGCUGUACUAACCGCUUCUGCCCAGAAUCUUCUAUCUAGCCCAGCAUUAGAGAGCAUGCACCUUGCUCUCUCCAGAAGUGUUUGAUUCAUCCGCUCAGCUACACCGUUCUGCUGUGGUGUAUUUCUGACUGUACGAUGUCGAGCAAUCCCUUCAUCCUUACAAAAUUGAUCAAAUUCAGACCAACAGAAUUCCAGCCCAUUAUCAGUUCGCAACCUCUUGAUCUUCUUCCCUGUUUGAUUUUCCAUCAAAAAUUUCCACUCCUUGAACUUUUGGAAGGCUUCACUUUUAUGCUUCAUCAUGUACACCCAAGUCAUCCUUGAGUAGUCAUCAAUAAUGGACACAAAAAAUCUGCAGCCUCCCAAAGACUCAACACGGCAUGGACCCCAGCAAUCAGAAUUGAUAUAAUCAAGUGUGCCUUUUGUUCUAUGAAUGGCCUUUGGAAACUUGUUGCGAUGUAGUUUUCCAAAAAUACAAUGUUCACAAAACUCUAGGCUCUUAACCUUAUGACCAGCAAGUAAAUCCUCCUUUGACAGAAUUUGCAUCCCUCUUUCACCCAUAUGACCAAGUCUUAUGUGCCAUAACUUAGUCAUAUCCUUCUGGUGAAAUUCUGACGAUGCAACAUGGGCUGAACCUGUAACCGUGGAACCUUGUAGAAAAUACAAAGUACCACGCAUGACACCUUUCAGAAUCAAAUUUGAACCCUUCCAGACCCGCAAGACUCCAUCUUUUCCCGACCAGCUGAAUCCCUUGUUGUCCAAAAGACUGAGAGAUAUCAGAUUUUUCGUCAUCAAUGGAACGUGCCUGACCUCGUUCAAUGUGCAGAAGCUACCGUCAUGUGUCCUUAUCUUGAUCGAGCCUGUCCCAACCACCUUGCAGACAGAACUGUUGGCCAUCGAGAUGCUGCCUCCGUCUACCUGCUCAUAAGUCGUGAACCACUCUCUCCUAGGACAGAUGUGAUAGGAUGCCCCAGAAUCAAGAACCCACACAUCUGAAUGAUGAGUGUGCUCAUCCGCAACUAGGGCAAUAUCUUCUUCAGAAUUGGUGUCUUCUUCAGCAACAGCAGCAGACACUGAUUGUUUUUCCGAUUGCUUCUUCUUCUUCGGACAAUCAAAUUUCCAAUGUCCCUUCUCCUUGCAGUAAUUACAAACAUCAUCCGGCUUUGCACCCUUCGACAUCGGCUUAUUUUUCUUUCCGCCGUUUUUCCUUCCCUUUCCGCUACUGGUGAACAGACCAGAAGGCUGUAUGUCCGUACUUGUGCCGUUAGCCUUAUGCCGUAAUUCCCUGCUAUGAAGGGCCGAUCUGACUUCUUCCAGUGACACAGUAUCUUUCCCAACAAUGAACGAUUGAACAAAAUUCUCAAACGACAUUGGGAGAGAUACUAACAGAAUCAGGGCAGCAUCUUCAUCCUCGAUCUUCACAUCGAUAUUACGCAAUUCUAAUAGCAAAGUAUUCAAUUGCUCUAAGUGUUCCCUGAGUUGUGUACCUUCAGCCAUUCGUAAACCGAAUAGACGUUGUUUCAGAAGCAGCUUGUUGGUUAGAGAUUUUGUCAUGUACAAACUCUCCAGCUUCAACCACAGACCAGCAGCAGUCUCUUCAUCUGAGACCUCCGUGAUGACAUCAUCCGCGAGACACAGCAUGAUUGUCGAGUGCGCCUUUUCCUCCAGAAUCGCCAUCUCAGGAGUAACGACGGCGUUCUUGUCUUUCGACAACGGCGCCCAGAAGCCUUGCUGUUUCAACAAAGCCCGCAUCUUGAUCUGCCAUAAGCUGAAACUGUUCCUCCCUGUGAAUUUGUCGAUUUUCACGUUCAAAGCAGACAUCUCGAAUUCUCCAAGAACACCGAUUAACCGAGAGGCUCUGAUACCAAUUUGUUGUGCGGAAUUUGAGAUAAUACGAGAAAAUAUAAACGCGAAAAACAAGACAACAGAUUUACGUGGUUCACCAAUAAAUUGGCUACGUCCACGGGAAGAGAGGGAGCAGUUUUAUUAUGGAGAGGCAAAAACAGAAUUACAGAAUAGGGUUUGCCAUAGCGUCUAUAUAUAGUGCUAAACUACGCCCUAACAGGCUUGGGCCCAACAUACAGAAUUGACAGAAAAUUAAGGGCCCCCGUCCUUUCUGUUUGUAGCGGGUCCGAUUCAAGGCAUUCAACAUAUCGAUUAGUUUAAUGAGUUAGCUUUUUACGCAAUUCUUUUGAUAUUUAGGUAUUUUCUUUUCCUUAAGUGAAAUAACGUUUUACAGUUCUUUAUUAUCUAACAUUACAUCUAGUUAGUGGUUCUCGUGCUGAUAAUUUUCUUUUAUUUAGAAUGUAUAUCUAGGUGGAGCUUUUGAGUAUAUAUUACUCCCUCUGUUUAGAAAAGAAUGACUCUACUUUCCUUUUAGUUUAUUUCAAAAAGAAUGACCUCUUUCCUUUUUUGGCAACACUUUAACUUUCCGUGUGACAUGUUUAAGACUACACAAUUAAGGGGAAUUUUGAUACAUUUGAUAUAACGUUAAUUUAGAACUACAAGAUUAAAAAAUUAUCUUUUUUUUAAACUUCAUUCCAAGAUAAACUAGGUCAUUCUUUUUGAAAUAGAGUAAAUAGUUUGGAUGAAGAAAAUAUGCAGCUGCAUCAUCGUGGUUGAAGAAUGAAAAUUAUUGGAGUAGCUUUGCACUUCUUUUGUUGGUUUUUUAAGAGGAUAUUUUACUAGCAUAAUGUGAAGUGUUAUGUUUUUAAUUUUCAAUGUUAAAUAGACUUAUUUUUUUAUAAACUAUUUGCUAUCGCUGAUCAUGUGAGGAUCUUGAUAAUCAAAACUUGUAGAUAUCAAAUUGAAAUGAAAUGAUCAUCGAGCAAUUGUCUGGAUGUGGGUUAUUGAGCAGUUGUCAGGUGUCGUUUCUCUUCGUAUCUUCUUCUAUAUCGAUGUGUUGUAUGUUAUAAAAUCCUCAUAUUUGUGGUUGUUUGCUUUAGUUUGCUGUUGGGUUUAUGAUGUCUAUAUGUGAUGGGUAUUGUUUCUUAGUAGUUUCCUUUAGUUCUAAGUCGUUUUCUUAAUCGUUAUUGCUUUGUUGCUUCCUUUCCCGGAUUUGCUGCUUGAUUCUGUGAUUAAGUCUAGUUGAAGCUUGUGGGUUUGCAGCUGGUGUUGGUAUUUCUUGUUUACUCUUUUGAGUUUUGUUCUUGAAUCUGCUACCUGAUGUUUGUUGAGUCUGUGCUAUUUUGUUUGCGAUGUGAUUCAUGUGUUGCAUUCAAGUUUGAUACUGUUUAAAGUUGUCAUUUAAUGUAUAGUGUAUCCACAUUUUUAUUCCAAUAGUUUAGUUUUAUCUAUCUUUUGAAUAUCUUCGUGGUCUUAUGACCUAAUGUGGUGUGCUUUAAUCAAGUUUUGCCUUCUAAAAUACUUACAAUUAAUUACCAAUCAAGUUGGUCUGAAAUCUGGAAAUUUUCUUGUAUAACUAUUCAAGUCUUAGUUUAUGUUGAAGUUUGAUCUUUGAGAUCAUUUGAACUGGGACAUUUUUUCAAGAAUGUUAAUUCCCGGUAAUUUUUCUUGUAUUACUAAAUGUUCAGCAAUCUUGUUUAGUCCCCUUAUGUAAAUUCCCUCUAAUUAUUUAUGAUCUAACUAGUGCAUCAAUUAGAUGAAUUUGUAUGCUAACUUGAAUGUUGUUAAGUGAUUUCUUUAUGACCUCAUUGGGUUAUGCAUUAUAAGUACUAAGUUAAAUAUCACAUCAAAAAAUUGUAUGCUUCAUUGAAUUUUCUAGAUAAUUUUGAUAUCGCUGUCGUAUGAAAGUCCGCUAGUUUAGAACCAAAGUGAUCAAACUGCUUCUGCCUAAAAAUUAUCUACAGACAACGCUGGACAAAACGAAAGAGUAUGACAACAAAUUAUCUGCAAUAUAGGAAUAUUGGCUUCUCCUAUUGUAAAACUUAAAUACUCUUUAAAAAACCGAUAAAAUCGAAAGAAUCGAAAUCGAAAAAAAUAAUUUAUAUUGGUUUGAUUUGGUUUAUCAUCACAUCAUACAUCAUCAUAUAUAUUAUUAUAAGUGGGAAUCUCCAACCUUCAAAGUUGGAUUACCAUUUUGCCCCUCCACUAAAUUAAAAUAAAUUAAUUUUAUUUUUUAAAUACUAAUAUUUAAUUACAUAAUGGUAGAAUAUGAAGUCCAACAACUAUCUUUAAUUUUUUAAUUAUGACAUUAUAAUAAUAAUUAAUUAGUUUAAAUUAAUUUAGAGUAGAAAAAAAUAAUGUAUGAAAUUCUUCGAAUUUCGUGAUUCUUUGGAUUUUGAAAUUAAGAUAAAUUUAUCUAUCAUGAAACAAUAAUGUAUGAAGCUCUUCAAAUUUUGAUACUAAAAUAAAUUUAUCUAUCAUGAUUCAAUUUGGCCCAUUAAAAAAAAUUUGGUAGAUAAAAAGACAAUCAAAUAUCACUAUAAAAACCAGUUAAUUGCUUCUUAGGUCAUCACAUCAUUUUCUUUUCUAUCAUUUACUAUUCUCUUUUCUUCUUCUUAGAUUAUGAUAUACAUAUAUGUCGUCAGGAAGCUAAAUGGGGAGAAGAACAAAUAGUUUCAUUUUGAAAUUAAAAGAAAAACUUUCUUACAAAAUAGUUCAACCGUUAAACUUAACAAUUUAAGAGAUGACUUAUAUAUUCCUUUAGAUCUUUUUUAUGUUAGAUUAUGAUAUUAAUUUUUUUCAUUUUUCAUUUUUGAAAUAAGGUAUGGUUGUUCAAAAUGGAUUUGGUAUGCAAGCCAUAUGUUUAUGCAAUUAUAUAUUAUUUCGCAUUUUUAGGAGUAUGUUAUAAUACUUUUAAGUGUUAUUUAAUGGACAACUUUCACACAUAACAAACGUAAAAUUCAUAUUUGUAUGCUAUAACAAAGUUUGCAUAAUUGCGCUCCAUAGCAAACAUACAUACAUACAUACAUACAUACAUACAUACAUACAUACAUAUAUAUAUAUAUAUAUAUAAAAAAUUCGUUAUACAUAUACAAUUGAAACGAAUUGUAUAAUUAUAAGUGUACAUGACGAUAAUAUACAAUUUGAAUUUGUAUAAAAUGAGAAAGAGAGAAAGGCAAAAGAGACUUGGGUAGGGAUUAUACAAUUGAAUCGAAUUGUAUAAAAUGAGAGAGAGAGAAACUAUAUACAAUUUGAAUUUGUAUAAAACGAGAAAGAGAGAGGCAAAGGAGACUCUGGCAGGGAAGUACUUUUUUGUAUAAUUAUAAAUGUAUAGGACAAAAAUAUAUGUAUCUGCAUGUGUAUAUAUAAUUUUCUCUCGCUUUAUACAAUUAGAAACACAAUUUAUACAAUUCUAUUAUAUAAAGCGAGAGAGCGAGCGAGAGAGCGAAAAUAUGAGGGAGAGAGGGACUGACAAACAGUUUGUUAUGGAACACAAAUAAAUCAAACGUUAGCUAGUAUAAUUAUUUUAUAUUAUUAGUUUGUCAUUCUAUACAAUUACCCCUUAUUUAAUUGACAAAAAAACUUCUAUUAAUAUAUGUGAGUUUGAUAAUACUUGAAUAGUUUAUACAAAGUAUGUUUUUGUUUUAAUGAAAGUAAUUUAAAUAAAUACAUAAUAGUGAUGUUAGGGAAAAAUAAUAAUAAUGAUUUUAAUAUAAUAUAAUAUAUAUAUAUAUAUAUAUAUAUAUAUAUAUAGUCGUGGGACUCACGUGUCGAGAACUAGUAAACUAAUAAACAGAUAUAAUUGAUUUGACUUUUUUUUAUAAUACAAAACCAACCAACCUAUGUACACCCUUAGUGAUAGCAUUUAGAAAAAUUAAAAUAAAUAUACUGCAAAAAAUAAUAGGCAUUCAAUAAAAAUACACAAAUGUGAUUCUACAUAUCAUCACACAAAAGCCACAUAAAAGAUAAAAUUUCUUAAUAUGUGUCCCACAAAAUUUUAGGUGUAUAAUUGAAAAUUCGAGACAAAUUAAACGAUCUAUUUAUAUUAUUCCUUCAAAUGCACUAAACACUUUUUUUUUUUUAUAAUUUUCUUCCUCUAAUGCCUUCAUUUGUAGUCCUUAUAUGAAUCUACCGCGCACAAGUGAAAAUUAGAUAAUGAAUAGUAUUCAUUACAAUUAUUCAGUAUAUAUCGAUUCUUUGUUAUAAUAUACGUACAUACGUACGUAAAUACGUCUUAGAAAAUUUUUUCGUAGAAUGUUCACUACUUGUACAAGAUCAUGAUUAAGAACAGACUAAAUUGAGAUAACUAAGAUGAAGACGAUCGUAAUUUGACAUGGAAUUAAAAGGAAGAAAGAUUAAUUUGACAUGAUGAAGAUGAUGACGAUGACGAAGAAGAUGAUUAGCUGGAAAGGCUAAAACGAACUUGAACAUCGAGAUCCUUCAACCAAGUUUGGCCUUGUAAGAAGGAUUCAACUGUGUAAUUCAACGCGAUAUCCUUACUUAUUGUGCCUUGAUAUCCAGCCCAUUUAACUCUGGAGCCCGUUCCAGAUCCAGCUCCUCUGUUGCUAUAUUCCCCGAAAUACAGAGUGCUUAAUGCAUAGUCCCCGUUUGUAGCCUCCCAUCCUUCUGGAUCAAUUACGUCAGUAAUGUCCGUUUCCAUUACAAUCGUCCUAGAGUAUUCCUUCAUUGGUCGACCCAAGUAACUCUUGAACUUUGAUUUUUCAGGUUCAAGUGUAUCGUCUGCGAAAAUGCUACAACUUUGCAAGACAGUCCCUGUAGUUUGGCGCUUGCUCAACCUUCCUUGUGCGGUAAUGACGUUCUUUUGGUCAUUCAUUGGUUUCCUUAGGUAAAUUUGACAGUUUUGGAACACAGCAGCCGCGUUUCCUGAUAUGAUGUCAACUGUGCCUGUGAUGUAACAUCCACGAUAAAAUUGUCGAUAGGCCUGAGCAUAGAUCACACUUUGGUGACCCUCCAUACGACAAUUCAUAAAUAUUGCAUGAUCAGCUUGGACUCGUAGAGCCACUGCUUCUAAUUUUUCAGGACCCGCUGUGUUACGGAAUCCCAUCUUAUAUGCAAAAAAUCCAUCUCCUGAAAUAGCUGCACAAGACAUAGGGGAAAUAAGAAGAAUAUAAUUAACUUUACAAUAUAAUGUAACAUUGGUUAUUUUCUUAUAUCGUCAAUUAAACGUUAUAUAAUAACCCCAAAUGAUAUUGUCCGCGUCAACAAAGAUCCGAAGAGAUUAUUUCAUUGGUCAUGGUUGAAGGGUCGUAUGGUAGCUGAUUAGAGUUUUGCAGAUAUUAGUAAUACAUUAGUUAUGCAGAGUUUACUUAUACCACCUUGUAUCCUGCAUCUUUUAUUCAUUAUUACUUACCAACUGUUGCGGUUUGGUAUGUUGUGAGGUCAUCCACAAUGUUUUUGCUGCCGGAGAUAAUACUCUUUUGGGAUCCAUCUCCAACAAAUGUAAGAUUGACUUGUGACACAACUACAUUUUCUUCAUAAACUCCUUCUUUAAUAUAAAUAAAGAACCUGCAUUGUUAUCAUUAUAUAUAAGAAAAUUGGAAGAUCCAACUAUUAAUUAAUUGCAUUUGUAAAAAAAAUGGAGUAAAUAUUUGUACCUUCCUUCAAAGCUUUGUGGAACUGCCUUUAAGGCUUCAUUUAUGGAACUAAAAUUACCACUACCAUCUUUUGCAACUGUCAUGUUUAUAAAAGACUUCAUGUCUUUGCCUUCUUCUUCAUCCAACAUUCUUCUAUCACCUUGUUUAAUCCAUGCAGGAACACCUAAUCGUGUUGUUAGAAGACGUCUUUUAGCACUAUUAUUUGAUUGAGAGGAUGAUGAUGACGACAAUCCGGAGGCAACAACAAGAGAAUUGGUGGUGUGUUCCUCUGUUUUCUUCAAGGCGCUUUGCACCGUGGACUGGUCUGCUUCAGGGUAUCCAUCCACACACAUGCUUUGGAAUGUCAAAGCUGCACUUAACUUGUUAUUAAGUUCAGCGGUUGUUGUGGCGACAUCAUUAACGCCACCUUCAAGCAAGUAAAUCGAAGCGUUCAAGUCUUUUUGGCAUAACCAAGGAGGGCCAUACAAUCGUCAUGAGCAACGACCUUCUCUGGGAUAUCCUUGUUGAUUUUGUCUAGUUCUACAAUACCGGCAGCAAUCUCAUCGAUAGCUGCAGAUACGGUUGCCUUGAGAAGAUCUGUAGGUUGAGCACCAGAGGCAUUUGCUUGUACAACUUUUGAUAGAAUGUCCCCACAACUUUGACUGAAAUCUGUUCCCGCGCAUAUUGCUCCCAUAGCUCCUUCACCUUGUGGUGAGGGGGCUGGGGCUGCUGCUGCGUUGCCACCCUCGGGUGAUGGUGCAGCAGGUGCUGCAUCCCCAGCCGGUGCUGCAGCUCCGUCCACAUUUGGUGGAGGGGCAGCAGCACCACCUUCAUCAGAAGGUGGUGCUGUAUCAGCAGCCUCAGGUGGAGGAGGUGAUGCAUCAGCCUUAGGAGUCGGUGUUUCAGUUUCUUUUGGAGGAGGCGUUGACGCGUUCUUAUUAGAUUUACUAGCGGAGGAGGAAUCACCGCUCUUGUUUUUAAACACAACAAAAUAGACAACAG
Molecule: long non-coding RNA, 62475 nt
Filed under: Solanum lycopersicum (tomato)
Lineage: Eukaryota; Viridiplantae; Streptophyta; Magnoliopsida; Solanales; Solanaceae
Description: long non-coding RNA (SLYC_LNC000383)
Source: RNAcentral